UUUUUUUUUUUUUUUAAGUAAUAGUAUACGGUUUCAGUUCUUUCUUCUUAUGUCUCUGCCUAUAUCUUCAGUUUUAUAAGUACAAUGAAACUCAUCCACUACAAAUUGCCCGUUCGAAUUAAAAUUCUUUUUAAAAAAAUGUAACGUAACGAUUUGAUGUACGUUAAUUGAAAAAUGUGUUAACAAAAAAAAUGUAAAUACUUUUUUACGAAAAAUUACAAUCCAAAUAAGGCGUGCCGAUCGGGAAAUUGCCAAGAAAGUGUUAUGGUGCUUUUCAGAUCUUAUAUAUGACCUGGAGGUAUGACUUGGGCAAGAAAGAAAUGUUGAUAGAAUCUUAGAUUGAAGAUAAGAAUAUGGAACUUACCGUGGAAUUGAAUUUUAAAGAAUUUGGCAGACAGCCAGACAAUGCAGGACAAAAUGGUUUCCAAGACAAAUACUACUUGAAAAAUCAUCAUUCCAAGUCACUGACUCGUACAUCAUCGUGGCUAUGGAUGUAAGGAAAUCCAAAAGCACGAUAUAAUAACCAUUGCUUUUUUUUUUUCAAAGUAAUAUACGGUUUCAGUUCUUUCUUCUUAUGCCUCUGCCUCUGCCUCUGCCUCUAUCUUCUGUGGACUCUUCUAGUACGUAACGUAAAGGGUGGGUAGUGGUUGAGAAUCUUGAAUUGAGUUUCGAAACCAGUGGUAUUUGUGGUGGUGGUGGCUCCAUAGCUGAAGGUGGAAAUGGAAAAUUUUAUAGUUUGAAGAUGAUGGCAUUGAAUCCUCCCGAAGUUAGAAAGAAAAGGUUGAAUUGGGAGGAAGGCAAAGAUGUGGUCCGAAGUCUGAACGAGCAAUAACUAAAGAUUGCAAUGCAAUGGUUAUUUUAUAAUCUGAAAUGGAGCAAUCAUCAUCAAUUAAGCUUGCAAUUUAUUUUUUUGGGAAAAAUACACUUUUCAUCUCCAAUGUUUAAGGUGUUCACUAAUUUCGUGCCUAAAGUUUCAUACAAAACACAUUUCAUCCUUAUAAUUUUGUAAUUUUGACCAAUUUUGUCCCUAAAGUUUAUGUAGAACACAUUUCAUCCUCAUAAUUUUAUAAUUCCUACCAAUUAGGGACAAUUAAAGGAUUGUUAACCAAUUUAGACAUAAUAUUAUCACAUGUCCCAUUAAUAAUUGUAUUGUUAAUACUUAAUUCAAUUAUUGAUUAAAUUAUAGAAAUAACAACAAGUGUUUUUGGAUAGGAGACUAUCUCUUUUUUUUUCCCUUUAAAUUGUGAUAUGAUAUAUUUGAGACUAAAUGAAUAGAUUGAAAGAUAAAUAGAUGAUUGAAAAACAUGUAUAUGAUGCAACAAAACAAAAUUUUGCAAAUAAAUGACAAUCUAAACCAUUCAUUCUUUUGCAUUAAUAUUUUUCUCCAAUUAGUUGUGAUGGGUAUGUUUGACAUUUUUCUUCAAUUGGCUAUAGUAGGAUUUGUUUCUUUCCCACUGACUUCAUUUUCUUUGGAUCUUCUUGUUCGAUUGUGAUUAAGAAGAAAGUAAUGGUGGCUAAAAUUUCUUAGUCUUUUUUGUACUAAAAUGAGAAAGUGAAUUAAGAAAAGAUUUUUGAGCUUUUAGUUAAUCCAUUUUUUUUUUUACUAAUGGGCAUGCUGUGAUCAAGUGAUGCUAUCCCAUUCAGAUUGCUUUACAAUCUACUUUUUUUUUAAAUAUUAUUAUUAUAUUAGAACAAAACAGAGAAAUACAAGCAGGUGAGGUAUAACAAUUAGGGCAUGGCACCUGUAACCCUAAACCUGCGAAAGGAAGGAAAGCCUAGCCUAUCCAAUCGGUAUGCACCUCUAGCCAAUUUGGGUAAAUCCUUAAUACUUUCAUAGACAUAAACCACAUGCUGAUGAUGUGCCAAACCAACAUUUGCCAAUACAUCCGCAACCUUAUUUGGUUCUCUAUAAGAGUGUGUGAACUGACAACUUCCCCCAGCCAGUAACUCAAUCUUCCCCACCUCAAUUAGGAAAUUACGAGAAUGAAAUGUGUUUGUGUAAAACUUGAAGGAUGAAAUUAAUCAAAAUUAUAAAAUUACAAGGAUGAAAUGUGUUUUGCAUGAAAUUUUAGGGAUGAAAUUGAUUAAUACCUUAAAUAUUAGGGAUGAAAAAUGCAUUUUUGCUUAUUUUUUUCUUUCCCAUCCACUCCAUAAAAUAUACUACUCCACUAUUUCAUGAAACGUCUAUUAGUUGAUAUUUGCGUUCUCGUGAAAGGUGUGGGGAAGUUCUUUCUCGCAUCCGUUUCAUAAAAUAUACUACUCCACUGUUCCAUGCAUUCAUUUACUUGCAAUCUUCCAGGCUGCAAAAGACAAAAACUUUCGAGGCAGUCGCACGUUCUUAAAUAGGAAGAUAAACAUAACAAUUGCAACACACGACGCAUAUUAUUUAUUUAGUUUUGUAAGUACAAUGAAACUCAUCCACUACAAAUUGCCAGUUCGGAUUGACUUUUUUUUAAAAAAAUUGCACCAUAACAAUUUGAUGUAUGUAAAUUGAAAUAUUUGUUAACAGAAAUUGCAAUCCAAAUACGGCGUGCCACGUAGCUUCAAAUGGCAAACAAGAGUUUGUCAAUUGGGAAAUUGCCAGGAAAAUGUUAUGGUGCUUUUCAGAUCUUAUCUAUGACCUGAAGGUAUGCCUUGGGCAAGAAAGAAAUGUUGAUAGAAUCUUAGAAUGAAGAUAAGAAUAUGGAAUUUUAAAGAAUUUGGAAGACAGCCAGACAAUGAAAACAAAAUGGUUUCCAAGACAAAUACUACUUGGAAAAUCAUCAUUCCAAAAAAAAAAAAAAAGUCACUGACUCGUACAUCAUCGAGGCUAUGGAUGUAAGGAAGUCCAAAAGCACGAUAUAGUUGACCUAUUUCUUCCUUGACCACAUCUUCUUAGAGUUCAUUCAUUUGUGAAUUGUCCGAGCAGAUUUUUCAUUCUUCAGCUACCAAAUACUUUGACUCUUUGUACAUGCGUGCUGAUGACGAUACAUUUAGUAAUGUCCCAAUAUAAGUGAAUUUUUCAUUUAAGGAAUAUUCUCUCUUUCCACUGACCUCAUCAAGAAGUGAAGAGAAAAUUUAUCAUGCCGUUCCUUUUGUCAAGUCAAAAUAAUAAUAAUAAAAAAAAAGAAUAAAAAUGCUAUUCUACCUUUUCACAUAUGGAAUUGCGCUAUCCUUCAUUCUUGGUGAUCAAGUUUAUUUUUAAGAAUUUUACCUCUAGGUUUAAAAUUCAAUAAUGUUUCAACUCCAUUUGUGUUCAAUUGCUACCUUGUUUGAUAAUGUGUCAAGUAAUUAUCCUUAGAUAACAGUUGAGAAGUAUUCGUUGGUGACUAGUAAUUUCUUUGCAAACUAGUUAUAUCGAUCUCCAGAUCAGUAUUUUUCUAGAACGGUAAAACGAGAAAGAAAAUAGAAUUUGAAAACUUCUGGACUUACCCAAGCCGUGCGUCAUGGCUGCUUGAAUAAUACUCCACAUCAACAGAUUGAACACCUACAGUGGUCCGCUGUCGUCUUGGCAAGCCAAUCGCUUUAUACUACUUUACUAGUAGUUUUUUUGAACCUAAAAUUCCUCUUCUUGAAAAUUAGUCCAACACUGCGCCAACUCCAUAAUUUGCAGUGUGUGUAUGUAUAUAUAUUUAUAUUGCUUUUUUCAAUCUUCCGGCAUUGAGUGGCCACAUUAAAUUCUCAUUAAUCUAGAGUCAAGCAUUGUCGGAUAUUUUUGGGGUGGCUUUCCAACUUGGCCUUGUUUGGAUUGUGAUUUUUUGUAGAAAAUUUUUUACAUAUUUUGUAAACACAUUUUUAAUCACAUUUUUACCUCGUAUAUAUCAAAUUAUUACAGUAUAUUUUUCUAAAAAAACUCAUUAAAAUAGCAAUAAUUUGUACUUGCUUCCACUAUAAUAUGACUCCUUCGUAAAUUUUGAGAUAGAGAUUAGGGAUAAUUUCAGAAAUCUCCCUUGAGGUUUUUGACAAUUUCAAACAGCUCCCUUGUGAUUUUAAAAAUUACACUUACCUCCCUUAAUGGUGUAAAAUUACUUCAAUAACCCUCAGAAAACAAUUUAACCCAUUUAUAAGAAAACAAGGAAAUUUAUAAAAGAAAAUUCCUAAUCAGCAAUAAACCCGCAAACUAGUUUACUCCUUUCUAUUCUAUGGUAUUCAACAAUUUGUUAUUAUUUAUUUCCUCUUUUUCAUUGACAAAUUAUCUUCCCCUUUCUCUCUUCUCAUGAAAAAUACAUAGAGAUUGGUAAAUAAUCAAUUUUCCUAUGCCAAAAAGAUAAAACUCAGGUCAUGUACUUAAACCAUAUUAAUUUGAUAUAAACAACAUGAAUUACGCAAAUAAAUUGCUUCGCAAAAAACCCAAAUGUGAAAUUACUUUUCAAUUUGCUUCCAAUGUCAUGGUAAUCCUUUUAUUUUCUUUCUUGCGUACAAGUAACAUAUAACACUAUUGUCGACAUUUCUAAGAUAUGGUAUUAAGCGUGGGAUAUAUGGGUAGAUCAUAUUAGGGUUUUAAUGAGUUAGAUUGUGUUUAAAAUGACAAAUAUAUUUUGGGUUUUGAUUAUUUUGAGUAUCAUAAUAGAUUGUUGAUGGCAUGGCAGAAAAGAGAGGAUGAUGCAGGGGCAACUUGUGUCAUGAAAGAAUGUUGCUAAAUUAUUCUUCCUCCUUGCCUUGGUGAUGAAGAGAAGUGGUCUUCCAAGGAUUGAUGGGUGGUGAAUCUAGUGAUGGACAUUGGCAAGUUAAAGAAAGAGAUGAAAGAAACUUUUUAAAAUUUGAAAGAGGGCAUUAUAGGAUAUUGAAAUGAAAAAUUGGUCUAUUGGGUCUACUUUGUUACAUAAACCAUCAAAAGAAGGGAGGCGGCUGUAAUUUCUCAAACCUUAGAGGAGCUGUCUGCUACUGUCAGAAAAUUCAAGCUCCCACCCGGUUAACUUUGAAGGUUGUGGAAGACUCACUUUAGAUAUUUUCUGUGUUGUAGUAAUUAAUUUGAUGAAUAAAGGUCCCUUGAUCGGCAUAUAGCUAAGAUCCCUCUUAGAUAAUUUCCAAGGCUUGAUUUGCCCGGUUUACAGUAACAGGAUGGUCAAAGACAGCCAAUUAGCUGUCAAUCCAACAGAUCAGCCGUCUACAUAUAUCAAGGAUCACGCGUUGAAAUUUGAUGAACUUUGGAAGAGCAUAUAUUUUGACAACUAUAUAGCAUGAGAAAUCAAAUCUCCGUACGCCUAAAUACUAUGGAUAAUAUAAACAAGAAUGAGUGACAUCUAAUUCACUUUUUAUUUUAUAUAUAUUACAUCAAAAAAUUAUUAUAAUAUUUUUUUCUCAAAAAAUUAUCUCAAGAAUGUACCAUUUAGACAAACCCACUAUCAUUAUUGUUAAUAUUGAAUUCACUUUAAAAGAUGUAGUAGUAGUAGUAGUGUAAACUACUACUAUACUUUUGACUUACAAGUGCAAACUAUAAUAUAAAAUUACGUACAGAUAGACACCAACGCCUACGUAAAGCAACACUCACCAACCCACAUACAGCAUGUAAACAUGCUUAAUUAAGUUGCGAGUAAAAAAACACGUAGAUAUUUAUCACCAAGACAGAAGAAUUUUGCAUGCCAAAAAUGUCAAAACCCAUCUUUUUCUUUCAUCUCACGCAAAAAUAACUUUAAUUUUGGUCUUCACGGUUUUGAUUUUUGAAGGAGUUUCGUGGGCAGCAAUCCUUGUUAGGUAGUAGUAACUUAUUUGUCAACGUUGCCCCCCCCCCCUCCUCUUUCGCUACUUAGUCUUUUUUAUCAUCAUUUUAUCUUGGAGCUCUGAUUUUGAGGGCAUGCGAAUUGGUAUAAAGCCUUGCCUUGCCUUAUCUGGAAAACUAAUCCUUCCCAACACUAGGCUAAAGCCUCAAUAUGCACUCAUUGGCCUGUUCAAAUUUAAUAUUAAUCACCAAAUGCUCCUAAAUUUGAACUGAAACUUGGAGUUUGUUCGAAAUAGAAAUUCAAAACUUUUGAGACCCUAAAAUCUGACUCAGAUCUGAGUUGGGAAAUUUCUACUUUUUUAAGCGUAACGGAUCUUCUGUCCCACACUCUAUGCCACUCUCUGUCCCACUUUUUAUUAUAUUGUUAUUUCUCCUACAUAAACAUCAUGUUUUAAUUCUUUUUUGUUUUCUUAAAAUUCAAUAACUAUUAAUUGAGUGAAAAAUAAAUACAGCAGCUUCAAAAAAGUAAUAUAUAAUAGAAAAUUAAAAAAUAUAGUAGAAAAUUCAUAAAAAUCUCAUUUUUUAUGCAUUUUAAUUUCUUGAAUUUGUUAAAUUUUGUAUAUUACUCAAUUAAUAGUUAUUGGAUCUUAAGAAAAUAAAAAAGAACUAAAACAUGAUAUUUAUGUAGGAGAAAUAGCAAUAUAAUAAAAAGUGAGACAAAGAGUGGCAUAAAGUGUAUGACAGAAGAUCCGUUGCGUUAUUUAAGCUGCUUGUACGUAAGCUAGCUAGAUAGUUUCCGUAUUGACUGCAUGGCGAUGACAAGGAAGUUUACCAUCGCGUCGUCACAUGAGGAAUAGGACAUAAAUCCGAAAUCAAAGUUCAUGUAAGGGGCGGAGCAGCGGAUUUAGGUCGGUGGAUGGUUUUUUGGUUCAUCGAUUUUCUCUGAAUCUGAAUAGGUUAUGGGAACUGGUAAGCGGGUGCAGUUUGGGUCAAUUGUUACAACGGCCAAUUAAUUCUACUGUUGGCUUAUCUAUUUAUCUAUUUUGGGUAAAUUAUACUUAACCAAAAAUGACCUCUUCAGUUCAAAAUAACAGCGACAUUCCUCUUGAUUUUCUGGAAAACAGAUUCUCCCUUAUUGUUUGUUAAAUAACAUAAUAAAAAACCUCUCAUAUUCUUAUAAAUUAAGGAAGGAAAAUUAACUAGUCUUGUUGUAAAUUGAAAACUACUAGUAUUAUAAAUGUUGGCUACAUCAAAAGCAUUGAGAAGUGAAGUCGAUGUUAUUUUGAGACCAAGAGGGCAGUUCCUUAACUUUUGCAGAUAUUAGAGGAGAGGUUCGUGUAAUUUAUCCUCCCUUUUCUUAAAUUUUUUUUCUCCAACUAUGCACUUAUUUUCCAGAAUUAUAACAUUUUUAUGUGCGACUUCAACGCAGCAACCUUUUUAAAAAAAUUAGAAUAUAUUUUGCUUCAAUGUUCUGGCUCACCUUCUAUUCCAAUAUGGCAAAACCUGUCGCACAUUUUAUUACGUUGUCAUUUGUAAAAAUUCCAUCUUAACUCAAAAAAAUUUUCCUUAAAGUUCUAAUAACUGUUAAAAGGAUAAAAUACAAAAUAAAAUGGACUGAGAGAAAAAAAUAUAACAAAACACAACAAAUGCUAUACUUUAAAUUUUUUGUUGUAAUUUAUUUAUUUUUACUGUUUGUUGUAUUAAAUUUUUGCUUUCUUAGUAGUUAUUAAGAAAAAAAAAAGAACAUAAGAAUAAAAUUAAAAUUUGUGAAUAAUAGAAAGUGGGACAGAAGAUUUAUUGCAAGUUUUUAUUUUUUCUUAAUAUUACAAAAGGAUAAUUCCGGUUGUGGAAGAAAGCAACCAAACGAAGAGGCCCUUAAAAAAAAUUUUACGUAUAAAAUAUUAAACGAAAUGAAAUUUCUUGACCAGCUCUUUCAGUGUUGGAUGAGAGUUCCAAUUUUUCUUUCUUUUUACAAUUACUAGAAUUGAAUUGAAAAAGACAUAUAAUAAUAUAUGCUUACGAGAAGUUUGCAAGCUGUACUGGUAAUGAUAGAGUAACUAUACAUAAAACCGCACUAUUAGUUUAAACAAAACUACUAGUAAAGCUGGCUAAAUGAUAGUUCCAUUAGUCUGUGGCGCACAAGGUGUAGAAAUGGAAAAUUGAUGAACCAAAGAGUGGAUUGAUUAUGUAUGGUGAUGAAAACUGUAAAGUAUUUUUUUUUUAACCUGGAACAUGCCUCGAUUUGAGUCACUUAGGAUUUGAACCGACACACCAAACAGGGGAUGUACCGCGGCCCCCACGACAACGCACCCAGGUUAGAUGAGGGUUCAAAUUUAAGGUAAGAUUUAAACCCAUGACCUUAUUCAGUUCAAGAGCCUGCUUUAUCGCUAGAUUAUCCCUGGAAACGAAAACUGUGAAGUGUGCGUAAAUUUUUACUUUCUUCUUUUUUUUUUGCAGAAGGUAAAAAUAAGAAAAUAACUUAACCUUUGAAAUGCUAAUUCCAACCAAAAUGAUCCCAGCUAAGGUAAAAUAAUUUGGUCGGUAGUCCCAACUCCAAUUGGCAACGGAGGCAUGAGAUUUUAACAAGUUAUCCCAGAAGUUGGGGGUGGAGGGGAGGUUUAGGCGUGUAGAAGAGAAGGAAAAAGGAGAAAGGGAAAUGGUCGACCUUGUCCUUUAAAACUUCAGUCUUACAAGUAAAACCAGAAAAUGGCAACCUGCGACCUUGAAAUGAGUUCAUGUGUUCCUACUACUACGCUUGAUUCACGACUGUAGUCAAAAGAGGAUUUAUUGUAGGACCAACCAAACCUAAAAACCAAUAAGUAGAAAGUAGUACUUUCUUCUUUUUGGUGUGUGUUUCUGUCAACGAAUGCAUUUAUUCAUCCAAUUCUUUCACACAGUCUAAAAACUGCAGAGGCGGUCACCAGUCUGCACAGAAGCACGUGAGUAGGUCAAAGAAAUUUAUGGGUUUUUAGCACGUUUUAUUUCGACAAUUUUCAGAUGGCUUCCAAACUUCAUGGAAUGGAAGUACGAAUUGAAAUGUGUCUGCUGCUCAGUGGCAAACUUGUGUUUGCGAAAUUGGGCGGCUCCUCGACCAAACUUAUUUACUGCUAAUCAUCCGUACCAUAAUGCUAUAGUUUUCGAUUUUCAGGGCAACGGUAAGUGUUUUUCUUGACGAGGAAAACAAAUUCUAACCAAACACUAUUCCCGACCACUAAGCAAGCCAAUAUUUGCAUUAAAAUAAAUAACUAGCUUAUGAGUUGAGUGGUGAAAAAAGCAAAGAAGCAAAUACUAGAUGAACUCCUCUUCCAUUCUACCAAUAUGAGCACUGUUGGUUCAAGUCGAAAAGUAACCAAGUGAUAAUAGUCAACCGAACAUGUCCUCAAAUCCAACUUGGCUAGCUAGUUAGUAAGGAUAUUAGUUUGAUGACCGUAAAAUCUCUGAUUUGACUCUUAAGUUUUCUCAUUUCCCUCUUCUUCCUUGUAAUGCUUAGAGUCUCUCUUGCUAUCCAAAAAAAUUCAACAAAACAUUUUAAAUUAAAAUAUAUAUAUAUAUAUAAAAUAAGAUAAUAGAAAAUAUACUACAAGUAUGUUCUUGCCAUAUAAAAGAGUCAGAAAUAUAUAUAUAUAUAUAUAUAUACAUAUAUAUAUAUAUAAAUGUAAGGUAUAUAUGUCGUUUGAAUCACUCUUUUAGUAUGAGAAUUACAAAACUAGAAACUAGAAAUCAAGUCUUAAUCAUUAGUGAAUUUAAGUUAAUAAAUAAUCUUUGUCUAAAUAUGUUGUGUAAUGGCCAAAUUUAACAUAAAUAUGGCCAUUACAAUAGUCACAGAAAUUACAAAUUUAGGAAGAAGAAUUGUAAUUGAAAAACUAUAGUAAAAUCAUUUUCUAGAUUUUUAUAUUUUUGAUUAACAAGUAUUGAGAAAUUUCUUGUUCUCACGUGGAAAUUAUUUACACCAUGAGUCACGCACGCAAGCAACAAUUACGACUCAUGACUCAUGACUUGUGCCAAACAGAGCCAGCAAACACUGAUCAAACUAUUGUUGGCAGCGCAUUCUUUCUUUCCAUUUUUCUCCGUGAAUCAGUUAAUUUCCAAACUUAUGAACGUUGAAAUAGGACUUUACUCUCUCUCUGUCUCUGUCUCUGUCUCUGUCUCUCUCUCUCUCUCUUGUUUUCCAUUUAUCAUUCCAUUUUCUCUAAUCUCCUGCCUAUAUAUAGCUUAUGCCAAGCCACACCUUGAGUCAUCACCACAUUCCUACCUAGAGAAAUAUAGGGCGUGCCCCAAGUUAAGGCGCGCACACACAACACACAGAAAACACGUUGAGUCACACCAAAUUAUAAUACCACAGACUUCAUAGCCUAGAGGGAUUGAGUAGAUGGAGUUCGAGAAUCCAAGUUGCCAACUUUUGUCCAAGAUUGCCACCAACGAACAGCAUGGAGAGAACUCUCCUUAUUUUGAUGGAUGGAAAGCAUAUGAUAAUGACCCUUACCACCCUACUCAAAAUCCCAAUGGGGUUAUUCAGAUGGGACUCGCUGAAAAUCCGGUUUGAAUCACAUACCUAGCUAAACUUGUUUCCACGACUAAUUCGUUCUUUAUUCUCGGACGGUAACAUCAAUGUUGAUAUAAUUAGCCUUACUCAUUUCUUGAUUUUUCUUGCGCGCAGUUGUCUUUUGACUUGGUGGAGGAAUGGAUUAGAAAACAUCCAUCAGCAUCCAUUUGCACCAGUGAAGGAGUACAAAAGUUCAGGGACAUAGCCAUCUUCCAGGAUUAUCAUGGCUUGACUGAAUUCAGAAAUGUAUGUCAAUAAUCAAGACCAUCUCCAAGCUAACUUGCUUUUGGUUCCCAAAUUCUCACAAGAGAGAAAAUACGUGCUCUUUUCUUUACACGAUUUCCUUCAAAUAUUAAUGCAGGCUGUGGCAAGGUUUCUGGGGAAAGUAAGAGGAGGUAGAGUCACCUUUGAUCCAGCUAGAAUAGUGCUGGCAGGAGGAGCAACAGGAGCUAGUGAGCUGAUCACCUUUUGUUUGGCUGAUCCUGGGGAUGCAUUUUUGGUUCCUACACCAUAUUAUCCAGCGUAAGCUUCAUUCUCCAUCUUAGUAUUUUAACUGAAAUUUUCGACUUUGGUGUGGACAUUCAUUUAGAAAAUACUACAAUACUAGAAAGAUAAUGGUCGUAUGCUAAGUUGACAAGUCAAUACGUAAUUUGCAAGUAUCUUAAACUUUUCAGAACCGUAUCCUGUAAAGUCAAUCUGGAAAUUGAAACAUCCUUAAACCCAAUGGACAUUUGGCAUGAGCAGUAUACAAAUUUGUAACAGCCUGUCCCCAUAUAAUUUUCAGCAGUGACUGUAUUCUAUCGAAUAUUUUCUUUCCUACGCACAAUCGGGUUCCCACAGGAUGGUACGCCGUCAAAGGGUUAUUGUCAGCUAGGGUAUACAUUGACCUUACAACUACGGAGUUUUCGGAUAUCUCAUUAUUUGGAAACAAAUACUUAGUCAAUUUACAUCAUAAAUAUAUUUUUUAAUCAUUCUUUUUAUCUUUUUAACAAUAUUUUUAUCUUACAUAUAAUAAAUCGUAAAAAUUGUAUUACAGUGUUAUAAUAAAUAAAUUUUCCAAAUAUUGGAUAGCCAAACACCUUUCUGGACACCAAAAAAAAAGAAAACAGAAAAAAGCCCAAAUCCAUAUGUAUCGUUAUAAUACUUUAUAAUUAUUGUUGCUACGAUUUUUACAAUAAUUUCCAUAACUCACAAAUACAGCAAUGUUGUUUGUACUAUGCAGAUUUGACAGAGACCUAAAAUGGAGAACCGGAGUGCAGCUAAUUCCAGUCAUCUGCGAGAGCUCAAACAAUUUCAAGAUCACCAAAGAAGCGCUGGAGGAGGCAUUUGAAAAUGCUAAAAAAUCCAGCAUCAAAGUCAAAGGCGUGAUAAUUGCAAAUCCAUCUAAUCCACUAGGCCACUGUGGAGAGAGAGACGCAAAUAACAUUGGUAAACUUCAUCAAUGAGAAACAAAUCCACUUGGUUUGCGACGAAAUUUAUUCGGCGACCAUCUUCAGCCGUCCGAAUUUCAUUAGUAUAGCUGAAAUCAUAGAAGAAGUGGAAUGCAACCGGGACCUCAUUCAUAUAAUCUAUAGCUUGUCCAAGGACAUGGGCUUCCCUGGAUUCAGGGUUGGCAUCGUUUACUCCUAUAACGAUGCAGUCGUAAACUGUGGUCGGAAAAUGUCCAGUUUCGGACUAGUCUCCUCACAACACAACACUUUCUGGCCUCAAUGCUAUCGGAUGAUGAUUCAUUGACCAUUUUCUUAAAACAAGCUCCAUGAGACUUGCAAAAAGACAUCAAACAUUUACCAGCGGGCUUGAAGAAGUCGGGAUAAAGUGUUUGAACAGCAAUGCAGGUCUUUUCUGUUGGAUGGAUUUACGUCCAUUGCUCAAAGAACCCACGUUCGAGGCAGAAAUGGUGCUUUGGAGGUUGAUCAUACGUCAAGCUCAAUGUCUCUCCAGGCUUUUCGUUUCAUUGCGUUGAACCCGGUUGGUUUAGGGUUUGCUUUGCUAAUAUGGAUGAUGAAACUUUAGAGAUCGCACUAAAAAGGAUAAGGAUCUUCAUCCAAGCGACAGAGAAGAAAUCAGAUGUGACUGCGAAGAAGAGGAAACAGUGGUAAAAGAUCUCAGGCUUAGUUUCUCUGAGGAAGAAGACGUGAAUGUUAAGAAGCCUGAAGUCACCUAGUGUGACGUCUCCUCAUUCUGCUAUGUCUCCGGCACAGCUGGUCCAGACCAGGACUUGAUCAUGACGAUAUUAGCAUUAGCUAAGUAACAACAUUAAUAUUAAUAGUACAAGCUAGUUUAUUGCAUUAGGCACAAGUUGUUUGGUAUGACAAUAAUUUAGUUGUUUUUUGUUAUUAUUUCUUUCCAAGUAACUAAUUGGAAAAGUAAUAAUUGGUUAGUAAUUACCUUUCAAGUACUAGAAUUAUUAACUUAUAUAUUUUGUAUCCAAGAGGGUGUCAUGAUUACUCUUGGACGAGUUGAAUCCAACCUUUAUGUUAUCCCUAUAUGUGUAGCUGCUUUAGUGAAAUAAGUUACUACAUGAUAUAUAGUUUAAUACUUGAGUCUAGCCGUCUUUCUUUUCUUUUCUUUUUAAUGAAGAUGCCAAAUAGAUUAUUAGAAGUUAUAACCUCUCUUUUGCAAUUCCAUGUUCUUCUGAAGGGUAUUUUUCAUACUGCAAUUCAUUUUUGUUAACCUCGAAGCCUCUUAUAUACGAGUUUAACGAGAAAACCAAUUUUUAAAGCAUUAAGUGGAAUUAUUGAUAAGCUUUAAGAUCUCCAAUACGAUGGUGGAUAGUACUGGACACUAAUGAGUAAUGUAAUAGGAGGAGGAAAAAUGAGCACAAACAUUAAAGUUCUAAUAUUGUUUGACCCUUUGUUGCAUUAUCUCUGACUAAAUGUAUAAAAGCAAAUAGACUAAUGAGAGACGAGGCCAAUUAGCAUUAUUCUAGCUAAUUAAGUAUGGAAGAUAAUCUCAACAUGACACAAUCGCACAGUUGGGUUGUAAUAUCUCAUGGACGGCAGUUAGUUGUCACCAGAAAUGCUCAUUCUCGUGAUACAAGUUCUCUCAACAUCAAUACCUAUAAUUAAUCACAUGCAAUCUCAAUUUGGUACUGCAUGUUGAUUUCUCCUAAUUAUAUGAUGGUACAGUAAAAGUGUGACAGAUCUAUGUAUACCUAGAUUUGCAAAAGUCUUAACCAGGAAUUGGUCAGCGAUAUACACCACGUGCAAUAUUUAUUUAUCUUCAAAUUGAACAUCAACUACAAAGGCAAAUAAACCACUGAGUUAUGGCUCAGUGGCCAUAAAAAGGGACUAAAUCCUCUUUGGAUCGUAAGUUGAGGGUUAACCCUACCUACAGUCAAAAAAAAAAAAACCUAAAUAAGGUGCUAGAGCAUUCCUUUGUUUUAAUCAGAUCUGUAUACCUGCUACCCCUAACCAACCUCUAAAUUCUCCCUCCUUGUAAAAAUGAUAGAUUAGGUUCCUAUAAAAUAGAAUAAAUUAAGUUAUAUGAUUGUUAUCGUUAUGAAAAAAAAACAUGCAAGGCGGAACUAAGAUGGCCCGGGGAGGGACAACCUUCUCCCAAGUUCUAGAAAUUCAUGCCUUGUUCCACACUAUAUAGUUUAUCUCAAUCCGUAACUUUUAAUGCUUACAAAAAAUGGAUGUUACUAAUAUUCUCUGAUUAGAUCUUUUCAGAAUUGAGUAGAACAGGUUCAAGGCUAACAUAUGCUGAAAUAGCUGUCGGACGCAUAUAAAGACUGCAUCGGCCAUCCGACAACCAUUGAGUAACUUCGGAUGCAUGAAGAACCCACUCUCGGACGUCCGAAGAUGAAACCAAGUCCUCUAGGCCAAUUGACCUCGAUCGGAGUACAACACCUAAGUACCAGGCCGUCCGAUAAACGUUACGACACUUCGGACGCAAAACAUUGGAGCACCGGACGUCCUGAACGAAUUGAAGUAGAAUUUCCAGUUUUACAUCAUACCUUCGGACGCAUAUUAUGAAGGUACGGACGUCCUAAAAUAUUUCAAGAAAACUUCUUGAAUCUCAUGCCUGCGUUCGAUGCAGAAAACUAGCCUACCGGACGUCCAACACCACCAACGGCUAGUUGACUCUUCAACUGCCUUCUAUCCGUUGGUAGCAUUAAUUGAAAAUUUUUUGGUCUCCUAUGAAAAGGAAAAAGUCAAACACUUCAGACAACUUUCGCACAUUGAGACUACAUCAGAUCUUGAGUGAUUCAAGUGUGAGAAUACUUUUUAAAGAAGAUUUGUACUUAGUUGUGGAACUUUCAAUAAACUUUUCAAGUGUGUUUCUAUUUCUUCAAUAGUAUAGCUUUGUGAGGGUUAUCCGAGUGAUAGUAAAACUUCCUUGCUUGACCAGUGCCGGCUUGGGACGAGGAGGAAGUGAUCCUUCCUUUGUACACAAGAGAUUUGUUGUAAGUUGAUCAACUUGAAGAACUUGCUAUUUAAAGUGGUAUUCAAACUCAAAUAGAGUUUGAAACUUGUUUGCUAUUCUAUCCUUUUUCUUACUGUCUUGCAAUAGAAAUUGUCUAUCUCUUCUACUCCCAAGCACUUGUGCUUACUCAUCAAUUGCUCCAUUGUGUGAUCUUUAGAAAAAGAGGGCAAUUCUCAAAAAGUGACUCAUAUCUGGCUAACUUUUAAAACCCUAAUUUACCCCCAUAUAUAUAAUUUUCUAUAUAUAUAAAACUAUUUGUCUCCUAAAGCUUUUUUUUUUAAAAUUAUAUGUUGACUUCAAAGUUUACAUGUGAAUGCGUUUCAUCCCCUCAAACUAAAUUUUCUAGUUUUGUCAUUGAUCAACUAAUCAUGACAAUUACUAUUUAGGGGAAUCUGUACACAGCUUAGAUGUUCCUUUGAAGUAAAAUAAUAAUAAUGAUAUUACUUUAUUAUAGCAUGCAUGAUUCUAGGAUAAUUAAUUUUAUUUUCAUUAGGGUUUGAAAGAGAGAAUCUAAAGAAAAUGAAAAUUCAUCGUACUACGUAUCUUAAUAUCCAAUUUUUUAUAAAAACAACAAAAUUAGUGAAAUUUAAGAAUGAUAAAGAAAUAAGGUUGAAAUACUAGCAUUAACAUUUUAGAAAAGAGUUUUUUAGAGGAAAAUUCUAUUGGAUAAUAAGUGAAGAAUGAUAAUAAUGUAUAUAUAUAGCAAAGUACGCCAAGGAGGGUUUAGUAUAGUGACGAAAGUUGAGGUUCAAAAUUUAGAGGUCUUAGAUUCUAACUCUAAUCUCUCUUUUCUUUCUACGCUUCUUAAAUCUCACCCCUUCCCUACUAGAAAAAUUUAAAAAGAAUACAUAUGUGUGUGUAUUGAGUAGUACAUGCGAGAAAAAGUACUAAUUUUUUUUUUUAGUUCAUGGGACCAUAAAUGGCUAAUGUCAACUGAGUUGAAUCUCUCAGUUUAUUUUAUUUUUAUUUUUAUUUUUAUUUUUUGCAGUAGGUGGAUUUCCACUAGACCUAUAUUUGAUUUCAAAAUGUAUUUCAUUUUGGAUAGAAUUUACCAAUUGCAAGGGCGACCAGAGCACCACAAAAAGGUACCUACUUGAAGCCUUGACGCCCAUGCUUGCUCGCACUUUAUGCUAGAUUUCAAACAAACUAAACCCUUGAAUGUUUUCUUUCACACUUUAGCUUUUGAAUUUAAAGGAUGAGUUCCAGAGUGAUUUUCCAUUAAACAAAUGGUAUACAGUUGGUGGCCAGUCAUAUUAUUAAUCGAAACCAUGCUUCAUGAACUCAACUAGACGUGCAAUUAAUUAUAUGGCCAUCUGCUUGGAUCUUGCAAGUCAACCGAAUCACCUAAUAUAUUGCCAGAUAACGUGGAAAUAUUUAAGCAUUUCGAUAUUCUUCAAGUUACUAAAGAAAUGCCCCAUGAGGGCCAUGACUUAAGUAUGUUAUGCCCAAACUUUAUCGUGAGAUUUCACAAUUUCAUGCUAAGCCUCAUUCACCUUCCCUAUGGAAACUUCUAUGCUUAGGUCUCACUACUAACCAUCUCCUAGGAAGACGUAGCCUCCUAUUGUGGGCAAUUUGCAUGAAUCACUGUAAUAUAUACGCUGGUGGUAUGCUACUGGUUUUGGAACACUUGGGAUCCUUGGUUACAUCUUUCCUGCACCAAUUCAAUGCCACCUCUAGCAUUGUGCCAAGUAUCCUAUUAUUAUUUGCACUUUAAUUUUCAAAUAAUUUAAAUUGGUUUGAUUUAACAUAAGUUUUCUCUACCCUCUAAAACUUUGAACCAAAAUUAAUCGAUCGGUCUAAUUCAUACUUUAAAUUAUUAGAAAACUUGGCGCAAUGGAAAGGUGGAAAUUACUUGUAAAUACUAGGACCAGUCUACAAUUGAUUACGAGGAUCCCAAGUGUCCACCAAAUGGUAAAUACUAGGACCAGUCUACAAGUAGAAGGGCAAAGCCAAAAUUACAUUGGAAAGGCAGAAAUUAAGCCCUGCUGCUAUCGUAAUCAAUGACCUCAGAAUCAGUAAGGGACCUGGAAUGCUGCACAAUUGAGCGUCCGAUGGAGUUGAUCAAAUCUUCUUUCUCCUUCUCCGAAUCAGCCACGAAGUACAUGGUAUCCCUACUAGUGGAGAGCUCGAAAGAGAAGGGCUUGUUGAGGACGUCCUCGGCGCCUUUGACGGUGAGGCAAUCGGCAGUGGAGAUGACGCCAUGUGGAAUGGCGGAGCUGGUGGAGGAAUCAAAAGGACAACGUCGUUGAAGUGUGGACCUCAUCGGAGUGGAGAUGACACCACUACUUUCAGGGACUUUUCUCUUUUUGGCUUUUUCAAAGCAAUCAACAAUGAAAGCGUUUGAAGGCAAUCAAUGAUGAAAGUAUUGGUAUACGAAUUAGACUGGUCGGUUCAUUUUGGUUCAAAGUUUUAGAAGGUAGAGAAAACUUGUGUUAAACCAAACAAUUUGAAUUAUUAGAAAAUUAAAGUGCAAAUAAUAAUAGGACACUUGGCGCAAUGCUAGAGGUGACAUUGGGUUGGCACAGGAAAGAUGUAACUGAGGAUCCCAAGUGGUUUUGGAACAGAACAACCUUCUCAUCCUCCUAAAGUUUUACUACCAAAAAAGUUACAAAUAGGAAAUGAGGUCCCAAAAAUUGAAUCUUGCUUUAAUUUUGAUUGGCAAGUGAAAGGGUAAUUAAUUACAUACCUUGUGGGUGGAUCUUGUAAGUCAACCUAAAUGUCCUAUUAACAAAUAAUGUGGAAUAUUCUGGCAUUUCGAAAUUCCAAACAUAACUGAAUAAAUCUCCUUAAAGGUUACGACCUAAACUUUUGUAUCAUAUGAUCCCAACUAUUGAAUUCCGCUAUUAUCCUUGCUUACGUUUCUACUUUCUAGGACAUGAUUACCCUGGCUAUACACCACCUAACAAAGAUGAGAAAAGUGAACAAGUCUGAGGUGUGGACAAAUUACCCUGGCUAUACACCACCUAACUGAUAAAAUUCACCUUGAAUUGUAACACUUUUGUGAAAAAGAUGACAUAAAACCCCCACUUGUUAUUGUAUGCCUUUGAGGUAACAAAUAGAUGAAUUCUUUUUAUUAUCUACAAAUAUCAUUUUAAUUGAAGAAUGAGCGGGGCUCAGUCUUGGGACACCCUGGUACGAUUUUUGAGUCCUUUUCCGGGCAUAACAUAUAUAGAUAAUAAAUUCAUUGGGGUUUAUUUUGUUAGAAUUUCGAAAUGCUCAAAUACCUCCAUCUUAUCUGGCAGACAAGAUAUUAGAUCCUAUCACGUAAUGCAGUUGGCCACCAAAAAUAUACUGAUUUGAGUAGAAGGUAAAACUAAAUUCAGUUUUUUAAUGGUUUUUUCUUUAUUGUAAAUGAGAUGAUUUGAAUCUAAAAUCUUUUACUUACAACCUGCUAUCUUUUCACCCAACCGUCCCCAGUGAAACUAAAUUCAGUUGGUGUAAUAUAAGUGUAAAUUAGUUUGCACAACGAAUAAUUUCUUUCUUCUAUUGUCUUCACUUAACACCGAGUUGAAUAUUAUAACUUUAAAAUAUGAGCACCUUAGAUGUAUCUGUGUGUACAUUAAGUUCAUCUGUUUUUGUUUUAAAAUUUCAAUAGUGUUAUCAGUUUAUUAUUAUUAUUAUUGUUAAUUUUCUUUUGAAUAAGAUGGUGCUUUUUAUUAAUCAUCAGAAACAGAACCUGUACAAAGUUGUCCUGCUACAUCAAAGCAGAACUGCAAAAUUGUGCUAAACCAUCUAUACAUGUUCAGUUAAUCAAAGAAAAAACCAAUCCAUGAGGCACUUCUGAUCUAAAAUCCAAUCCAAUGCUAGCUCCAAAUUUUCCUUGACACGAGGGGCUUUAAGCCAAUAAACAUAGCUAAUUACACCAUCCUCUCCACAGCUGCAACUAGUUGUGCAUUAGAACUUGUAGAUUGCUGAAAAAUCCUCUUAUGCCUCUCCUGCCAAAUAUACCAAACCGCGGCAAUAAACACCAUUCUUCUGAGCUUAGCAGCAAAAAUAUCAGUGGUCACAUGUUUACUCCACCAAUUUGUUAGCUUCAUGAGUCAAGGGUUAUAUCCCACAUUGAUUCAAAAGAUGAAAAAAAAGCAGUUAAUAUAUAAGGGUCCAAGAUCUAAUAAUUUAAGCUUUUGGGUCAGAGUUGGGUUUCUGACUUACAUAUUGGACUCUUUGGUGGACUUUCUCAAGGUGUUUCUCUCCUAUCAAAUUGGUAUCAGAGUUUCAGGUUGUGAGAUUGAGUUACUCAUGGGCAAGUAAAUUCUUCGCAAAGUUGGACCGGUAAAAAUUCUCUUCCUCGUGAUGGACCAAAAUGCCAAGGAGUUUGGGUAGUGUUGGACCAGAUGCGCCACGGGUUUGGCAAGGUGUUCGGUUGGUGUUAGACCAAGGAGCCUGAUAAGUGACUAAUUUACGUAAUAAUUGAAUGACAUUUUAUGUUAUUUUUAGUCACUUUGGUUAUAUUAUUGGAAGAAAAUGAAUUAUUUUGGCUAUAAUUGGUGAAAAAAAUGUUCUUAAGUGAUUAAAUGAGGUUUUUAUCACUUUUUACUUGCAUUUUGUGCAUUUUUGACAGUUUUGACACAUUUUAGUAUUUCGACUAUAACUUGAGCUACAGUGAUCGGAUUGAGAUGAUUCUUGAACUAAUUUGAAGAUAAGAGAUAGAACUACAACUUUGGUGAAGACAUUGAAACCCAGUUUUAAGGUUUUCUAGGUCAAAAAACUGAAUUACAGUAGCCAAUUUCUAUUGGUCGAAGCUGAAACAGAGCAUUGAGCAGUCAAGGGUAUUUCAGUCAUUUCGCAGCCUACACAAAUCCAAAUGAGGUGAUUCUUGAUGUAUUGGAAAUCUAACUCAAAGGGCUACAAGUUUUAUGUUUUGGUCAAGAGUUAAAUCAGCUUCUAUCAUCAAGAAAAGUUCAAUUUAAGCUGAGGCAAAAUCGGAUCAGAGCUGGAAAUUGAACAGAAAUUGCACAAAAAGUCACUGCAGCAAUCCAGCCUGAACUUGGCCGGAUUUAUGGGCGGAUUGUGGUCAGAAAAGGCUGCUCUCUACGCGGGCAACUUGUUUUCACCUCCAACAAGUCACAUGUAAUGCUAGACAUGUAACAAACACUUUGCAGCUAUAAAAGGGAGGUGUAAACCUCAUUCCUUGACCACCUUUUACCUUUAUAUAGCCAAAAACUUGCAAGAUUGAAGGAGAGACAUACGGGAGAAGCUUGGAGUCUGCAGAAAUGUAGCUCUUCCAUUUUCUUAGUGUGAGGUUAGUAUAGUAUAGGAUGGUUUAGCUAGUUAGUUCAUCCUUCUUGUUUAUUAGCUAGAUGAAGAAGAGGUUGGAGGAUGAAGAAGGCAAGGAGAUGAACUCAUGUGACAAGAGUUACAUUCUUUUCCAACUCUUUAUCUUUUGUACUUGAUUCCAAGUUUAGUUAAUAUACAAGUUUUGGAUUUUAUGUUUAUUAUGUGUUUCUAAGGUUUAUACCUUGGGUUUGGUUGAACUUUCUAUGAUUGUUAGUGUUUAUUAUUUGGUUAUUUGAUGCUAUUAUUUGAGCAAGUAUUUGGCACUUUAGCUCUUUCAAUCAUAAUUCAUCUGGUAUCAUUAAUUGUGAUUAUCUAAGGUAUUGUUUCUGCAAUAAAAAUUGAGAUUUAACACUGGUUCAAGAAGUGUUAAACAUAGGGAGUACACUCACGAGAGUAGAGGUGCACCUAUGUGGUUUUAGUGAUUCAUUUCAUGUAAUUUCAUUGAAAAAAUGAACUUGUAGCUAAUUUCAUAACCAUGAGAAUAUGUAUGGAUUAGUUAUGAGUAUAAUUAAUUCACUACGAAAGUAAGAUUCAUAUGCAUAAGGAAAUUACACCAUAACUAGCCUAGAUAGUAGUACUCAAUGAUCCAAAUAUAGCACUUGCAUGAGUAGUUAGGGAUGCCAUAACCUAAGGAGCUUCAUUUGUUAUUUUCUUGUAUAAGUUCAGUAGGUUUUACUUGUUAUAAUUCAUUGAUAGUCUAAAUAAUAGAGAAGCUUUAGUAGUGCCGGUAAUUGUUCAAUCUUUCUCGUGGGAUUGACCCAAUAUAUACCCUAAACUACUAGUUGACCUGUAUACUUGCAGUGAAACGGGUGUAAAUCGAAUUUUUUAACUUGUACGUAUAAUAAAAACCCGUCAAGUUUUAGCGCCAUUGCCGGGGAAGAUAUGGCAAUAUCGGUGUGAAGAGCAACUUUAUUAGUUAAAUAUUUUAUUAGUUGUCUAGUGUGUAUUGAAUGUUAUUUUAUUUUAUUUUUGUGUUUUAUGUUUGAAUCAUCUAUUCUUCUUACUAAUUUUGCUCUUAAGUUGUUUAAAAGCAAUUUUAGGUAAUGAGGAGGGUAGGUCAAUUUGGAGACAAUGCUUGAGAAAUGGAAGAUUGGCAAUGGAUGGUUACCAAGUGCAAAGCUCCUUCAAUACAGGUAACCAAGAAAUUACUGAAGGUAUGUCUUUUGAAGAUGGUUUAAUGUGCUUAAAGGAAAAAAUUGAUGUGAUUAUGUUACAAGUUCAAACGGACAUAAUUAUGCAUGAAAUUGAGCAAGGGAGGAAUGCUAAUACUUUUAAUUCUUAUCAUGUGAUUUGUGACUUGUGUGGAGGUUAUCAUGCUACUAAUACAUGUCGACAAGCACAAAAUGUGGAUUACUAUGAUGAAUUAGAGCAUUACAAUGCUUAUUUUGAUUAAUAUAGUGCUAAUUGGAGCCAUUCUCCUGCUUAUGGUUGGGAUAAUCAAUAUACUUAUAGUAAUUCUUCAUAUUUUUAUAAUUACCAACCUGUAUGUGUCCAAUAUGAACCAAAUCAUCAUGGGAGUUGGCAAUAGAAAGAGUUGCUAAUGAUUCUAAGCCAUCUUGGGAGUUAGCUAUAGAAAAAUUAGCUAAUGUGACUUCCGACCGUUUUGAUAGGAAUGAGGAAAGAAUAGAUGAAUUAGCUUCUCACUUUGGUAGAAUACAUGAGCAAUUGAAUGCAUUGUGUGAAGUUAUUUCUUCUAAUAAUUUGUAAAAUGAUCCUAGCAUGAAUGGUGGUAAUGUUAUAUGUGAAAAUGGAUUGCAUUUUGAUGAAAAUGAUAAAUCUCAAUUGUGUUUCAAUGAGCAAAUAUCCAUUUCACAUGAUAAUAUCUUUGGGACUAACUUCGAACCUCAAGAGGUGAGUUUCAAUGACUCAUUUUUCAUCCCUCUUGAGGAGUGCAUUGAAGGUAUAGGUUCUAAGGGUAUUGCUGCCCAAGAUACUCUCAUGGAAUUUCCUUUGGUGAGUUCUCAAGUGGUGAAUAUUCAAGGUAAUAUCUAUGAAACACUUGGAAUAGAUAAAUCACUUCCAUCCCUCAUAUUAUUAGAACACGUGACUUUUGCUAUUAAAUCACCUUUUAAUGAUCCACCACGGUCUAAAAUGGUGGAAUAUUCGUUAACUAAACCUCCUUGAUAAUGAGGUGAAAUAGUCAAGCUAAUGAGUAUAAAGAAGCGCUUGUUGGGAGGCAACCCAACGAUUUCUUAUUUUUAGUAAGUUUUAGUUGUUUAAUUAGUGUUUUUGUGUGUUUUAUAGGUGGCAAUGACAAUGGUAUAGGCAAUUGUUUCAAGAGCAAAUAGUUUAGAAGAAAGCAAAAAGGGAAUAUUCUUGUUCAAUUAGUAUUCUUGUUCAAUUGAUCCUUUUGAUGCAUUUAAAGUGCUUUAUUCUAAAGUUAUAUUGAUGCAUGAUUUCAUGUUUCAAAGUGCAAAUGGUCGAGAAAGCACAUUUUUUAUGUUUAAGGUGAAUUUUUCUUGAAGAAAGUGAAAAAAGUUGAAAAUUGGGUGAGUUAAAACUUGAUCAAACAGGAAAUUGGAGGAAAAAACUGCAGAAAUCAUGGCCAGAUAUACAGGGGAGGCGAAACAAAAUUUUUUUGGCUCUCUACCUCGAAUCCGGCCGGAUAUCGGGCCAUUUUCCGGCCGAAUAUGCAGUAUAUAUAACAAAAAAAAAAUGCUUGGCCAGAAUCCGGUCGUAUAUCCGGCCAGUGUUGCACAAUAAGGGGAAUCCCAACUUUCUUCUUUCCUUCUUCUUCAACCUUCACACACACUCACACCUUAAACACACACCACUCCUAUAAUCCAUCUUUUCACCAUAAAUUCUCCCAACCAAAUACACCAAAACACUUCCGUUUCCCUUGAGAGUUGAUUCUAUAGCUUAAAUUCCUUCAAAAACAAGUUUUAAUUUGGAUUUGAGCUUGAGAAGAACAAGGGUUUCACAUUUUUUAACUCUUCAUUUGAGACCGAAUUGGAGUGAAAUUUUUGGGAGUUUCUUCACUAUUUGCAUCCAUAAUCAUUCACAAACAAGUUUGAGGUAACAAAUCUUCAUCAAAUAUUGUCAUUUGAAUUUUGCCAUUUAUCACUUUUUCUAAUUUUGGGCAAUUUCGAAUUUUUUCUCAUUUUGUGAGGUUUGAUGCUUUUUAUUAUGUUUAUUGAGCUUAUUGAUGAUUAUUGGUGAUGUUUAACUCAUGGGUUUAUGAUUAUUUGGUGAAUUUAGCAAUUUUUAGCUACUUUUGAGGAUUAAUUUGAUUUGAUAUUUAUUAGCUAAAUUCUUGAGCUAAUUGGAUUAAAGAAAAAUGUAGAAGAUUAAUGGAUUGCUCUAGGACAUUUACAUGCUAAAUUUAGACUUAAUUGGUUUAUCGUUUGGUUUUUAGCAUGUUUAUUCUAGAAAUCCACAUUUUUGGCAUGUUUAUUCUAGGCUUAAUUGGUAAUGCUCUAAUUCAUCAUAGUAAUCCACAUUUUGUGCUUGCAUACAUGUAUUAAUAGCAUGAUAACCUCAAGAAUCAUUUAAUUUGGAGAUUUGUGGACCGAGAUAUGACCAAAAUACCAAAAAUUGGUCAGAGCUCUGUUUUCAACUUUGGACAGCAGUGUUGAACUUUGGUAUUUCGAUCUUUUGACUGAGAAAACGGUUAAAUUGGACUCUGAUGUUUGCAUACCAAAUUUAGAUACGUCUCUUAGCUUCAAAAUGGUUUAAGAAUCAUUCCAAUCCAAUAUAUAUAGCUCAAUAUAUAGCCAAAAUACCAAUAGUUGCCAAAACUGAAUUUUCUUGAUUCUUUUGUUCUCAAAUUGCAUUUCUCCUUUUACACUUCAUAUUUUAUUUUCAUCUCUUUAAACCAUCAUCAAUCAUCCAAUUAUCUUCUCAAUGUACUCCAUUUAAUGAUUGAAUCAUUAAACUUACAAAAUAUAAAAUUUUUAUCAUAAAAAUGCAAUUUUUACACAUUAACCAUAAAAUGUAUAUUUCCACUAGAAACUUAGUUUAUUAGCUAUAAAAUUAAAUAAAACACGCCAAAACUAUUUAAUAAAACACACUAAAAAUAUGUAAAAUAUAUUCUUAUCAAAUACCCACACACUUGAACCAUUGCUUAUUCUCAAACAAUAAGAAAUACCAACCAACAAUGAUCCAAAGAUUGAAAAUAAAUAUAUGUGCACCAUCAACUUCAUUUUCUCAAAAAAUAAGGUAAACAACCAUUAUGUAAUCACUCUAUUAAGUUCAAUUACUCAUAAUAUCAAGUAAAGAAAGGCCAAUUAUACCGCCAUUAUAACACAUUCAAGUCAAUUUCUCAUUCUUACACAAUUUUACAAGCAAGUAACUCAUAUGGUCAACAAAAUACUUCCUAAACCCAUGAUCAUCUUUUUAUUUUACUUAAAGAGGUAUUUAUUCAUAUAAUAUAGCUAAAUAUAUACUUAAGUUGUGAAAGUAUUUUUUUACGCGAGAAUUGACAUUUUUAGAUGAAAAUGACUGGUUACUCAAUACUUCACAUACUUAAGUUACGUUAUAUACUCUUAAUUCAAGUACCGUUUUACGCAAAAAUUGACAUUUUUAGAUGAAAACUCCCGGUUACUAAGUACAAGAAUCAUUGGGGUAGAAUAACUCUUAUUCACUUUUUAACUUUUUCUUUUCUUUUUUUAUACCUUUUUAUUUUAUACUCUUUUUUUUCAAACCAAAAAUAAUAACAUUCCUCCAAAAGAAUAAUCCUGAGAAGAGUAUUGCCACUAUUGACCAUACUUAUUACUUAACUUAUAAAAUCAAAUAAAAAAAAAAGAAAUUUCAUCAAAUAUGCAAAAAAAUAUAGGCAUAAUUUUCUCCACUUUAAAAGAUAUAUUUUCCUACAAAUGCAAAAUUAUAAUCACAUAAUAGUCAUUUCCAAGUUAAAUGAGAAAAGAAGUUUUCAAAUCAUAUAUAUUUUUCUCAAAUGUAAAAGGAAUUUGAACUACUAAUGGUAUGGAACUUAUUGCCCUUUGGAUAAAAUUGAAAAAAUUUAAAACAUUUUUGGGGCAACUUUGCAAUUUUGGACAAGAAAAAUUUUGAAUUUUACUACAAGUCCAAUAUUUGCAACUAAUAAGUCAAUCAUAUACAAUGUAUAUAAUCUCAAUUCUUCCCCCCACACUUAACAUGCACAUUGUUCUCAAUGUGUAAAAAGAAAAAUUAAGAUAAAAAAAGUAAUACUCCCCUUUUGUUGCGAUUGAAACAUCAAAGCAUUAAGUUCACGAGCCAUUGUCCACCUAUCUCCACAACUUCAUUAGUUUCAUUUGAUAACCAUUAGUAAUAUUAACCUAAAGGUGGAAAAUAAGAAACAAAGGUGAUAACAAAGGCAUUAAGAAACAUAUAACGGCGAUCCGUAACUCCUAUGCCUUUGUCUUGGUGAUGUACCUAUAGAAAAUACACAAUAAACUACUCAAGGUACAAGGGAAUUCAUGAGGAAAAGAAGAAAAAGAGAAUCAAGGAACCUGCAUUCUUCUUUAAAAACAACCUUAAAAACGUGUCUGCAGAAAACGCGCCUAUGAACUCGUGUUUUGGAGUCGCGUUUUCUGCUGUAAUGAUGCAGAAUACAAUACGCGACUUCAACUAAUACGUGACUUGGAGUCGCGUUUUCCUUGUUGUUGGGGCAGAAUUGAAUACACGGCUCAUGAAUACGCGACUUCAAGUCGCGUAUUUCCGAGCUCGCGUUUUCAAUUUCUGCAGUUUUUCCGCAGAAAUUUUGUAACUUUCAAAAAAUAUGACUUUUACCCCAAAUGCUCAAAAUGCAUCCUAGAUCAUUCUUUUGCCAAAAUAUUCAAUGCACGCACAUGCAAAACGAUCAAAACAUGCAUUUUAACCCCUUCUAACGAAUCAAAAACAACAAUUAUUCAAAUCGAGGGGUUGAGUUCCUUGAUCAAAUUUCAUCUUUUUCACCUCAUUUGGUCACUUUUACUUUCAUUUCCAAUACCUAUAAAUGAAAAAUAACGAAAUAACUCAAACAUAUAAUUUAAACAUAAAAUCACACCAAUAUAAUGUAAAGUACUAAAACAUUAGGUCGCCUCUCAACAAGUGCUUUUGUUUCUAGUCGUUGGCUCGACAAUUGAACCUCAUUUUUCAAGGAGGUUUCGUUGUCAUGAGAAUAUCUUGGAUAGCAAUACCCUUAGAACCUAUACUUUCAAUGCACUCCUCAAGAGGGGCAAAAAAUGAGUAAUUACAACUCACCUCUUGAGAUCAAGGUUAGUUCCAAAGAUAUUAUCAUGUGAAAUGGACAUUUGCUAAUUGAAACACAAUUGAGAUUCAUCAUUUUCAUCAAAAUGCAAUCCAUUUUCACAUACAACAUUCCCACUAUUCAUGCUAGGGUCAUUUUGCACAUUAUUAGAUGAAAUAACUUCACACAAUACAUUCAAUUGAUCUUGUAUUCUACCAAAGUGAGAAACUAAUUCAUUUAUUUUUUCCUCAAUCCUAUCAAAAUGGUCGGAAGUCACAUUAGCUAAUUUUUCUAUAGCUAACACCCAAGAUGGCUUAGAAUCAUUGGCUACUUUUCUAUUGCCAAUUCCCAAAAUGGUUUUGAUUCAUAUUAGACACAUUCAGGUUGGUAAUCAUAAAAAUAUGGAGAAUCGCUAUAUGCACAAUGAUUAUCCCGACCAUGAGUAGGAGACUAGCUCCAAUUAGCACUAUAUUGAUCAAAACAGGGAUUGUAAUGCUCUAAUUCAUCAUAAUAAUCCACAUUUUGUGCUUGCAUACAUGUAUUAAAAGCAUGAUAACCUCUACACAAGUCACAAAUCAUAUGAUAAGAAUUAAAAGUAUUAGCAUUCUUCCUUUGCUCAAUUUCAUGCAUAAUGGUGUCCUUUAGAACUUGUAACAUUAUAUCAUCAAGUUUAGCCUUUAAGCACUUCCAACCAUUUUCAAAAGACAUACCUUUGGUAAUUUCUUGAUUACCUCUAUUGAAGGAGUUUUGCACUUGGUAACCAUUCAUUGCCGAUCUUCCACUUCUUAUGCAUUGUCUCUCCAUAUUUUCUACUCUCCUUGAUCCCCUAAGCAUGUCUUCAAAAUAACUCAAAAACAAGUUUAGUUAAGAAGAAUAGAUGACUCUAACAUAAAAAAAACACAAUAACUCACAAACAAUCUAAAAACAAAAAUUGAGACAAUAAACACAACAAACACAAGAAAAACAAGUAAAAAUGUCUAAAUUAAUAAAGUUGCUCUUAACACCGAUAUUGACAAAUCUUCCCCGACAAAGGUGCCAAAAACUUGACGUGCGCGCGGGUAUACAUAUACAAUUAAACUCAUUCCAAUCAAGUUUUACAUUUAUAAUUCAUAAAUACCCCACAAGCGAUUUAUCGCAAGUAUACGAAUCGUGAGCGAGUAUAGAGUAUUAAGGGUCGAUCCCACAGACAUGAUUGCAAUUACCGGUGUUUUUCGAACUCCUUUAUUAUCUAGACUACAAUAAACAUAUAAAAGUAAUGAAAAUAACACUAGAAAACUCCUAGAGCUAUGGAAUUCCUUACUGCUCUUGCAAAUGAGAUUACCGGUUAAGUGAAUGCUAUUAUCUUGGCUAGUUAUGGUGUAAUUUCCUAAUGUAUGUGAAACCUACUCUCGUAGUGAAUCAACUAUACUUGUAAGUAAGCCAUACCUACUCUCGUGGUAAUCAAUUAAUUACAAACUCAUUUCUUCUAUGAAAUUACAUGAAACAAGUCACUAAAGCCACAAAGGUGCACCUCUACUCUCGCGAGUAUACUCCCUAGAUUUAUCACUUCUUUGAAUUAGUGUUAAAUUUCAAUUUUCAUUGCAAACUUAACACCUUUAGAUAAUCACAACUAAUGGCCGGUUAAUCAUGAUUAGAAAAGCAAAAGUGAUAAAUAACUUGUUCAAAAUAAUAUCACCAAAUAACUGAGUAAACAUCACAAACAAGAUAUAGAAAGUUCAUCCAUACUCUAGGCAUGAACUUUAGAAAAAUAUGAAGAAAAACAAAGCCAGACUUGUAUUAUAGCUAAACAUGAAAUCAAAUACAAAAGAGAAAGUGAUAGGAGUGAUGUCACCCUUGUCACAUGAGCUCUAACUCUCCAUCUUUGCUCCUUCAAUCUUCAUCCAAAUUAGAUACAAAUAUAAGAAGGAAAAACUACUCUACCUAUGCUAUACUAAUGAACCAAGAAAAACUAGUGAAGACUACAUUUUUUGUGGAGUUCUUUCUAGCCUUCCAAAAUUAUGAAAAAGGUCUUCCAAGGCAGUUAUUUGUGGAGAAAUUUCUUGCAAGAAACAAGGUGUUAAGUCAUGUCUUGAUUCCAUAAACAAGAUAGAAUGAGUUGUAAAGCUUCUUUUGCAGCUGUCUUGGGCUGUUUCCACCGAUAUUCUUGCAGAAAAAAUGGAUCAAAAAGCUUGUGUGAAUAAAACACAAGUUUCUGAGGAAGUUGUAGCCACAAUUGAGGAAUACGCGACUUGAGAAAACGCGGCUUCAUGCCACGUUUUCACUGAGCCACGUUUUCGCUUCUGUGCAUUUGACAUUAUUUCAACUGCUUUUUGCUCGAUGAUAGAGACCGAACUAGCUCUUGUGUAAAACAUAGAAGUUGUAGCCCGUUGCGUUAGCUUUCCAAUGCCUCAAGAAUCAUUUAAUUUAGAGAUUUUUGGACCGAGAUAUGACCAAAAUACCAAAAAUUGGUCAGAGCUCUGUUUUCAACUUUGGACAGCAGUGUUGAACUUUGGUAUUUCGACCUUUUGACUGAGAAAACGGUUAAAUUGGACUCUGAUGUUUGCAUACCAAAUUUAGAUACGUCUCUUAGUUUCAAAAUGGUUUAAGAAUCAUUCCAAUCCAAUAUAUAUAGCUCAAUAUAUAGCCAAAAUACCAACAGUUGCCAAAACUGACUUUCUUGAUUCUUUUGUUCUCAAAUUGCAUUUCUCCUUUUACACUUCAUAUUUUAUUUUCAUCUCUUUAAACCAUCAUCUUUCAUCCAAUUAUCUUCUCAACGUACUCCAUUUGAUGAUUGAAUCAUUAAAAAUACAAAUAUAAAGUUUUUAUCAUAAAAAUCCAUAAAAAAGUAAUUUUUACACAUUAGCCAUAAAAUGUAUAAUUCCACUAGAAACUUAGUUUAUUAGUUAUAAAAUUAAAUAAAACACGCCAAAACUAAUUAAUAAAUCACACUAAAAAUAUGUAAAAUAUAUUUUUAUCAAAUACCCCCACACUUGAACCAUUGCUUAUUCUCAAGCAACAAGAAACACCAACCAACAAUGAUCCAAAGAUUGAAAAUAAAUAUAUGUGCACCAUCAACUUCAUUUCCUCAAAAACAAGGUAAACAACCAUUAUGUAAUCACUCUAUUAAGUUCAAGUACUCAUAAUAUCAAGUAAAGAAAGGCCAAUUAUACCGCCAUUAUAACACAUUGAAGUCAAUUUCUCAUUCUUACCCAAUUUUACAAGCAAGUAACUCAUAUGGUCAAUAAAUACUUUCUAAACCCAUUAUCGUCUUCUUAUUUUACUUAAAGAGGUAUUUAUUCAUAUAAUAUAGCUAAAUAUAUACUUAAGUUGUGAAAGUGUUUUUUUACACGAGAAUCGACAUUUUUAGAUGAAAAUCACCGGUUACUCAACACUUCACAUUUGAAGUCACAUUUUCUGCUGUAAUGAUGUAGAAUACAAUACGCGACUUCAACUAAUAUGCAACUUGGAGUCGCGUAUUGAAGUCGCGUUUUCUUUGUUGUUGGUGCAGAAUUAAAUACGCGACUCAUGAAUACGCGACUUCAAGUUGCGUAUAUCUGUGCUCGCGUUUUCAAUUUAUGCAGUUUUUCUGCAGAAAUUUGUAGCUUUCCAAUUAUAUGACUUUUACCCCAAAUGCUCAAAAUGUAUUCUAAAUCAUUCUUUUGCCAAAAUAUUCAAUGUACGCAUAUGUAAAACGAUCAAAACAUGCAUUUUAACCCUUCUAACGAAUCAAAAACAACAAUUACUCAAAUCGAGCGGUUGAGUUCCUUGAUCAAAUUGCGCCUUUGUCACCUCAUUUGGUCACUUUUGCUUUCAUUUCCAAUACCUAUAAAUGAAAAAUAACGAAAUAACUCAAAUAUAUAAUUUAAACAUAAAAUCACACCAAUAUAACGUAAAAUACUAAAAUUAGGUCGCCUCUCAACAAGUGCUUUUGUUUCUAGUCGUUGGCUCGACAAUUGAUCCUCAUUUUUCAAGGAGGCUUGGUUAUAGAAUAAUCCACCAUUUUAGGUCUGGAUCAUUAAAAGGUGACUUUAUAGCAAAAGUCACAUGUUUUAAUGAUAUGAAAGAUGAAAGUGACUUACCUAUCCCAAGUGUUUUAUAGAUAUUAUCUUGAAUAUGCAUCAUUUGAGAACUUACCAAAUGCGAUGUCAUGAGAAUAUCUUGGACAGCAAUACCCUUAGAACCUAUACUUUCAAUGCACUCUCAAGAGGGGCAAAAAAUGAGUAAUUACAACUCACCUCUUGAGGUUCAAGGUUAGUUCCAAAGAUAUUAUCACGUGAAAUGGACAUUUGCUCAUUGAAACACAAUUGAGAUUCAUCAUUUUCAUCAAAAUCAAUUCAUUUCACAUACAACAUUCCCACCAUUCACGCUAGAGUCAUUUUAACAUUAUUAGACGAAAUAACUUCGCACAAUACCAUUCAAUUGAUCUUGUAUUCUAUCAAAGUGAGAAACUAAUUCAUUUAUUCUUUCUCAAUCCUAUCAAAAUGGUCGGAAGUCACAUUAGUUAAUUUUUCUAUAGCUAGCACCCAAGAUGGCUUAGAAUCAUUGGCUACUCUUUCUAUUGCCAAUUUCCAAAAUGAUUUUGAUUCAUAUUAGACACAUUCAUGUUGGUAAUCAUAAAAAUAUGGAGAAUCAUUAUAUGCACAUUGAUUAUCCCAACCAUGAGUAGGAGAAUAGCUCCAAUUAGCACUAUAUUGAUCAAAACAGAGAUUGUAAUGCGCUAAUUCAUCAUAAUAAUCCAUAUUUUGUGCUUGCAUACAUGUAUUAAUAGCAUGAUAAGCUCCAUACAAGUCACAAAUCAUAUGAUAAGAAUUAAAACCAUUAGCAUUCUUCCUUUGCUCAAUUUCAUGCAUAAUGGUGUCCUUUUGAACUUGUAACAUUAUAUCAUCAAGUUUAGCCUUUAAGCACUUCAAACCAUUUUCAAAAGACAUACCUUUGGUAAUUUCUUGGUUACCUCUAUUGAAGGAGUUUUACACUUGGUAAUCAUUCAUUUCCGAUCUUCACUUCUCAUGCAUUGUCUCUCCAUAUUUUCUACUCGCCAUGAUCCCCUAAACAUGUCUUCAAAAUAAUUCAAAAACAAGUUUAGUCAAGAAGAAUAGAUGACUCUAACAUAAAAAAAGCAUAAAAACUCACAAAGAAAUUAAAAAUAAAAUUGAGACAAUAGACACAACAAAUAAGAAAAACAAGUAAAAUGUCUAAAUUAAUAAAGUUUGCUCUUAGCACCGAUUUUGACAAAUCUUCCCCGGCAACGGCGCCAAAAACUUGACGUGCGCGGGUAUACAUAUACAAUUAAGUUCAUCCAAUCAAGUUUUACAUUUAAUAAUUCCGAAAUACCACACGCCAUUUAUCGCAAGUAUACGAAUCGUGAACGAGUAUAGAAUAUUAAGGUCGUUCCCAAGGGAAGAUUGCAAUUACCGGUGUUUUUCGAACUCUUUUAUUAUCUAGACUACCAUAAACAUAUAAAAGUAAUGAAAAUAACACUAGAAAGCUCCUAGAGGUAUGGAAUUCCAUAUUACUCUUGCAAAUGAGAUUACGGUUAAGUGAAUGCUAUUAUUUUGGCUAGUUAUGGCAUAAUUCCUAAUGUAUGUGAAACCUAGUCUCGUAAUGAAUCAACUAUACUUGUAAUUGAACCAUACUACUCUGUUGUUAUGAAUUAAUUACAAACUCAUUUCUUCUAUGAAAUUACAUGAAACAAGUCACUAAAGCCAAAAGGUGCACCUCUACUUCGUGAGUGUACUCCCUAGGUUUAUCAUUUCUUUGAACUAGUGUUAAAUUCCAAUUUUAUUACAAAUUUAACACCUUUAGAUAAUCACAACUAAUGGCCGGUUAAUCAUGAUUAGAAAAGGAAAAGCGAUAAAUAACUUGCUCAAAAUAAUAUCACCAAAUAACUGAGUAAACAUCACAAACAAGAUAUAGAAAGUUCAUCCAUACUCUAGGCAUGAACUUUAGAAAAACAUGAAGAAAAAUAAAGCCAGACUUAUAUUAUAGCUAAACAUGAAAUCAAAUACAAAAAAGAAGUGAUAGGAGAGAUGUCACCCUUGUCACAUGAGUUCUAACUCUCCAUCUUUGCUCCUCCAAUCUUCAUCCAAAUCUAGAUACAAAUAUAAGAAGGAAAAACUACUCUACCUAUACUAUACUAAUGAACCAAGAAAAACUAGUGAAAAGUGCCUUUUUUAUGGAGUUCUUUCUAGCCUUCCAAAAUUAUGCAAAUGGUCUUCCAAGGCAGCUAUUUGUAGAGAAAUUUAUUGCAAGAAACAAGGUGUUAAGUCAUGUCUUGAUCCCAUAAACAAGCUAGAAUGAGUUGUAAAGCUUCUUUUGCAGCUAUCUUGGGCUGUUUCACCGAUAUUCUUGUAGGAAAAAUGGAUCAAAAAGCUUGUGUGAAUAAAACACAAGUUUCUGAGCAAGUUGCAGCCACAAUUGAGAAAAUGCGGCUUCAUGCCAUGUUUUCGUUUCUGUGCAUUUGACAUUAUUUCAACUGCUUUUUUUCUGGAUGAUAGAGACCGAACUAGAUCUUGUGUAAAAUAUAGAAGUUGUAGCCCGUUGUGUUAGCUUUCCAAUGCCUCAAGAAUCAUCCAAUUUGGAGCUCUGUGGACCGAGAUAUGACCAAAAUAUCAAAGACUGGUCAGAGCUCUGUUUUCAACUUUGGACAGCAGUGUUAAAUUUUGGUAGUUCGACCUGAGAAAACGGUUAAAUUGGACUCUGAUGUCUUCAUACCAAAUUUAGAUACGUCUCUUAGCUUCAAAAUGGUUUAAGAAUCAUCCCAAUCCAAUGUAUAUAGCUCAAGAUAUUGCCAAAAUACCAACAAUUUCCAAAGCUGACUUUCUUGAUUCUUUUGUUGUCAAAUUGCAUUUCUCCUUUUACACUUCAUAUUUUAUUUUAAUCUCUUUAAACCAUCAUCAAUCAUCCAAUUAUCUUCUCAAUAUAUUCCAUUUGAUGAUUGAAUCAUUAAACCUACAAAAUAUAAUGUUUUUAUCAUAAAAUUCAUAAAAAUGCAAUUUUUACGCAUUAACCAUAAAAUGUCAAUUUCCACUAGAAACGUAGUUUAUUAACUAUAAAAUUAAAUAAAACACACCAAAACUAAUUAAUAAAGCGAACUAAAAAUUUGUAAAAUAUAUUCUUAUCAAAUACCCCCACGCUUGAACCAUUGCUUGUCCUCAAACAAUAAGAAAUAUCAAUCAACAAUAAUCCAAAGAUUGAAAAUAAAUAUAUGUGCACCAUCAACUUUAUUUCUUCAAAACAUGGUAAACAACCAUUAUGUAAUCAUUCUAUUAAGUUCAAGUACUCAUAAUAUCAAGUAAAGAAAAGCCAAUUAUACGCCAUUAUAACACAUUCAAGUCAAUUUCUCAUUCUUACCCAAUUUUACAAGCAAGUAACUCAUAUGGUCAACAAAAUACUUCCUAAACCAUGAUCAUCUUCUAUUUUACUUAAAGAGGUAUUUAUUCAUAUAAUAUAGCUAAAUAUAUACUUAAGUUGUGAAAGUGUUUUUUUAAGCGAGAAUUGACAUUUUUAGAUGAAAAUGACUGGUUACUCAAUACUUCACAUACUCAAGUUACGUUAUAUACUCUUAAUUCAAGUACCGUUUUACGCAAAAAUUGACAUUUUUAGAUGAAAACUCCCGGUUACUAAGUACAAGAAUCAUUGGAGUAGAAUAACUCUUAUUCACUUUUUGACUUUUUCUUUUUUUUUUCUUUUUUUACUUUUUAUUUUAUACUCUUUUUUUCAAACCAAAAAUAAUAACAUUCCUCCAAAAGAAUAAUCCUGAGAAGAGUAUUGCCACUAUUGACCAUACUAAUUACUUAACUUAUAAAAUCAAAUAAAGAAAAGAAAUUUCAUUAAAUAUGUAAAAAAAAUAUAGGCAUAGUGUUCUCACUUUAAAAGAUACAUUUUCCUAUAAAUGCAAAUUAUAUAUCACAUAAUAGUCAUUUCCAAGUUAAAUGAGAAAAGAAAUUUUCAAAAUAAUAUAUAAUUUUUUCAAAUGUAGAACGAAUUUGAACUACUAAUGGUAUGGAACUUAUUGCCUUUGGAUAAAAUUGAAAAAAUUUGAAACAUUUUUGGGGCAACUUUGAAAUUUUGGACAAGAAAAAUUUUGAAUUUUAACACAAGUCCAAUAUUUGCAACUAAUAAGUCAAUCACAUACAAUGUAUAUAAUCUCAAUUCUUCCCCCCACACUUAACAUGUACAUUGUUCUCAAUGUGUAAAACGGAAAAUUAAGAUAAAGAAAGUAAUACUCCCCUAUUGUUGCGAUUGAAACAUCAAAGCAUGAAGUUCACAAGCCAUUGUCCACCUAUCUCCACAACUUCAUGAGUUCCAUUUGAUAACCAUUAGUAAUAUUUACCUAAAGAUGGCAAAUGAGAAACAAAAGUGAUAACAAAGGCAUUAAGAAACAUAUAACGGCGAUCCGUAACUCCUAUGCCUUUGCCUUGGUGAUGUACCUAUAGAAAAUACACAAUAAACUACUCAGAUACAAGGGAAUUCAUGAGGAAAAGAAGAAAAAGAGAAUCAAGGAACCUGCAUUUUCCUUUAAAAAAACCUUAAAAACGUGACUGUAGAAAACGCCGCCUAUGAACUCGCGUUUUGGAGUCGCGUUUUCUGCUGUAAUGAUGCAUAAUACAAUACGUGACUUCAACUAAUAUGCGACUUGGAGUCGCGUAUUGAAGUCGCGUUUUCUUUGUUGUUGGUGCAAAAUUGAAUACGCGGCUCAUGAAUACGUGACUUCAAGUCGGUAUUUCUAAGCUCGCAUUUUCAAUUUCUGCAGUUUUUCUGUAGAAAUUUUGUAACUUUCUAAAAAUAUGACUUUUACCCCAAAUGCUCAAAUGCAUCCUAGAUCAUUCUAUUGCCAAAAUAUUUAAUGUACGCACAUGUAAAACGAUCAAACAUGCAUUUUACCCCCUAUUAACAAAUAAAAAAUAACAAUUACUCAAAUCGAGGGUUGAGUUGCUUGAUCAAAUUUCGCCUUUUUCAUUUCAUUUAAUCACUUUUGCUUUUAUUUCCAAUACCUAUAAAUGAAAAUAACGAAAUAACUCAAACAUAUAAUUUAAAUAUAAAAUUACACCAAAAUAAUGUAAAGUACUAAAACGUUGGGUUGCCUCCCAACAAGCGCUUUUGUUUAUAGUCGUUGGCUCGACUAUUGAAUCUCAUUUUUCAAGGAGGCUUGGUUAAAGAAUAAUCCACCCAAUUUUACGUCGUAGUGGAUCAUUAAAAGGUGACUUUAUAGCAAAAGUCACCUGUUUUAAUGAUAUGAAAGAUGGGUGUGACUUACCUAUCCCAAGUGUUUCAUAAAUAUUACCUUGAAUAUGCACCAUUUGAGAAUUUACCAAAGAAGAUGUCAUGAGAAUAUCUUGGACAGCAAUACCCUUAGAACCUAUACUUUCAAUGCACUCCUCAAGAUGGGUGAAAAUGAGUCAUUACAACUCACCUCUUGAGGUUCAAAGUUAGUUCCAAAGAUAUUAUCAUGUGAAAUGGACAUUUGCUCAUUGAAACACAAUUGAGAUUCAUCAUUUUCAUCAAAAUGCAAUCCAUUUUCACAUACAACAUUCCCACCAUUCAUGCUAGGGUCAUUUUACACAUUAUAAGACGAAAUAACUUCACACAAUGCAUUCAAUUGAUCUUGUAUUCUACCAAAGUGAGAAGUUAAUUCAUUUAUUCUUUCCUCAAUCCUAUCAAAAUGGUCGGAAGUCACAUUAGCUAAUUUUUCUAUAGCUAACACCCAAGAUGGCUUAGAAUCAUUGGCUACUUUUCUAUUGCCAAUUUUUAAGAUGGUUUUGAUUCAUAUUAGACACAUUCAGGUUGGUAAUCAUAAAAAUAUGGAGAAUCACUAUAUGCGCAAUGAUUAUCCCAACCAUGAGUAGGAGACUAGCUCCAAUUAGCACUUUGCUCAAUUUCAUGCAUAAUGGUGUCCUUUUGAACUUGUAACAUUGUAUCAUCAAGUUUAGCCUUUAAGCACUUCAAACCAUUUUCAAAAGACAUACCUUUGGUAAUUUCUUGGUUACCUCUAUUGAAGAAGUUUUGCACUUAGUAACCAUUCAUUGCCGAUCUUCCACUUCUCAUGCAUUGUCUCUCCAUAUUUUCUACUCUCCUUGAUCCCCUAAACAUGUUUUCAAAAUAAUUCAAAAACAAGUUUAGUCAAGAAGAAUAGAUGACUUUAACAUAAAAAAAAACACAAAAACUCACAAAGAAUCUAAAAAUAAAAAUUGAGACAAUAGACGCAACAAACACAAGAAAAACAAGUAAAAAUAUCUAAAUUAAUAAAGUUGCUCUUAGCACCGAUAUUGACAAAUCUUCCUCGGCAACGGCGCCAAAAACUUGACGUGCGCGGGGUAUACAUAUACAAUUAAGUUCAUCCCAAUCAAGUUUUAUAUUUAUAAUUUCUAAAUACCCCACACGCUUUUUAUCGCAAGUAUACGAAUCGUGUGAGAAUAUAGGGUAUUAAGGGUCGAUCCCACAGGAAAAAUUGCAAUUACCGGUGUUUUUCGAACUCUUUUAUUAUCUAGACUACCAUAAACAUAUAAAGUAAUGAAAAUAUUACUAGAAAGCUCCUAGAGGUAUGGAAUUCUUUACUGUUCUUGCAAAUGAGAUUACCGGUUAAGUGAAUGCAAUUAUUUUGGCUAGUUAUGGAGUAAUUUCCUAAUGUAUGUGAAACCUACUCUUGUAGUGAAUCAACUAUACUUGUAAUUAUGUCAUACCUACUCUCGUGGUUAUGAAUUAAUUACAAGUUCAUUUAUUCUAUGAAAUUACAGGAAACAAGUCACUAAAAUCACAGAGGUGCACCUCUGCUCUCGUGAGUGUACUCCCUAGGUUUAUCACUUCUUUGAACUAGUGUUAAAUUUCAAUUUUCAUUGCAAACUUACCACCUUUAGAUAAUCACAACUAAUGGCUGGUUAAUCAUGAUUAGAAAAGCAAAAGUGAUAAAUAACUUGUUCAAAAUAAUAUCACCAAAUAACUAAAUAAACAUCAUAAACAAGAUAUAGAAAGUUCAUCCAUACUCUAGGCAUGAACUUUAGAAAAACAUGAAGAAAAACAAAGCUAAACUUGUAUUAUAGUUAAACAUGAAAUCAAAUACAAAAGAGAAGUGAUAGGAGAGAUGUCACCCUUGUCACAUGAGCUCUAACGCUCCAUCUUUGCAUCUCCAAUCUUCAUCCAAAUCUAGAUACAAAUACAAGAAGGAAAAACUACUCUACCUAUACUAUACUAAUGAACCAAGAAAAACUAGUGAAAACUACAUUUUUUGUGGAGUUCUUUUUAGCCUUCCAAAAUUAUGAAAAAGGUCUUCCAAGGCAGCUAUUUGUAGAGAAAUUUCUUGCAUGAAACAAGGUGUUAAUUCUUGUCUUGAUCCUAUAAACAAGCUAGAAUGAGUUGUAAAGCUUCUUUUGCAGCUGUCUUGUGCCGUUUCCACUGAUAUUCUUGCAGGAAAAAUGGAUCAAAAAGCUUGUGUGAAUAAAACGCAAGUUUCUGAGCAAGUUACAGCCGCAAUUGAGGAAUACGCGACUUGAGAAAACGCAGUUUCAUGCCACGUUUUCACUAUGCCACGUUUUCGCUUUUGUGCAUUUGACAUUACUUCAACUGCUUUUUGCUCGAUGAUAGAGGCCGAAAUAGCUAUUGUGUAAAAUAUAGAAGUUGUAGUCCUUUGCAUUAGCUUUGUAAUGCCUCAAGAAUCAUCUAAUUUGGAGCUCUGUGAACCGAGAUAUCACCAAAAUACCAAAGACUGGUCAGAGCUCUGUUUUCAACUUUGGACAGUAGUGUUGAACUUUUGUAUUUCGACUUUUUGACUGAGAAAACGGCUAAAUUGGACUAUGAUGUUUCAUACCAAAUUUAGAUACUUCUCUUUGCUUCAAAAUGGUUUAAGAAUCAUCCUAAGCCAAUAGAUAUAACUCAAGAUAUAGCCAAAAUACCAACAGUUGCCAAAGCUGACUUUUCUUGAUUCUUUGUUCUCAAAUUGCAUUUCUCCUUUUACACUUCAUAUUUUAUUUUCAUCUCUUUAAACCAUCAUCAAUCAUCCAAUUAUCUUUUCAAUGUACUCCAUUUGAUGAUUGAAUCAUUAAACCUACAAAAUAUGAAGUUUUAUCAUAAAAAUCCAUAAAAAUGUAAUUUUUUACACAUUAACCAUAAAAUGUAUAUUUUCACUAGAAACUUAGUUUAUUAGCUAUAAAAUUAAAUAAAACACACCAAAACUAAUUAAUCAAGCACACUAAAAAUAUGUAAAAUAUAUUCUUAUCAAAAUACGUGAAAUGUAUACUUGUCAAGACUAAAUAGGUUCAUUGAUAAAAACUAAGAGAUUUUUGGAGUCGUUUACCCUUGAUUUAAAUAUGGUUAAUGGUGGCUGUCAAACUACCAAAAGUAAAAUUUAUAUUGGACCUACUACCAAAACUGAAUGAGUAUAGUGGUGAGUAUGGUCGUCUCCUCAGGGAAUCGGUAGAUUUAUGACACACAGGUAAUUGGGAAAUUUUGAAAGAGAGAGAGAUAAAUGAAAAAAAUUAAAGACGUAAGAUUACUAAAUAAACAAUCGCAAUAAAUGCAAUAACUCAAGAAUGAAAUAAACAAUUAAUUGACACAACCUAGUCAAGGAGAUAAUCUCGGCACCGGUUCACGCAAUUGAUCAUAGAUACCUGAAUGAAUUCACACGUUCGCAAAUAAAUUGGUUCUAACAAUUUAGCAACCGCCAAACUCCCAAUCUCUCCUUAAUUUUACGGUAGUCCAGAGACGCUCUUAAACUACCCCCAUGUAAAUUAGAUAACCCCAGAGACACUCGAAAAAUUUAAUCUAAUCACAGCUUUAGGAAUUAGAGAGACCCAAUUCUAGUUAACAAACACACAAGCGGGUUCAUUAAAACUAGAUUAAUUAUUCCUACGGGACAGAUUAGACUGCUUGUGAGGCAAUGAAAUUGUGCCAUUUGCCACUAAUUUAAGACAUUCAAGUGAUACACACCCCUGUCCUAAUUAGCAAUAUAUUAUUUAGACAAUUGAACAACUGGCCAUAUUGAUCCAAUUGAUCCAAACAAUAAUGGCCUAUUCAAACAAAAAAUAAUUAAAUACUCACAAAAGCCAAAUUUAGAAUAGAGCAAACAAUUAAAACGAUCUCACAAUUGUUCGUGCAUCGGGCUUUGAUUCCUCCUCAACUAGACCAAGAACUUAGCCUUGCCAUAACGACGAAGCAAUUCAAAGUUUUCGAUGGAAUGAAUUUAGUUGAUGAAAGAGUAAAAAGCUACGAAUCUCUGACUAGCGUUUAGAAGAAGAAAAGAAAGACAAAAGUUCCAAGAUAAAAAGGACACCCUUCUAGUCUAUUGUUGUUCCCUUUUAAAGCUUCGCCGCCGCACCCUUGCUUUCCGAAUUAGAGUUUGUUUUUCAAAAGGAUUCUUUCCUUAUUUCUCUCAUUGAAUUGUUGCCAAAAGUCUUCGCUGCAAAGGUUUACUAAUCCCACGCAGGUUCAGAAUGUGUCUCCAAAGAAAUGUGGUAAUUCCAGGAAUAGGACCCGCGGUCCGUCUUUUUCACACAACCCUGCGGUCUCUGGCGUGGGCACGCCCCGGAAGGAUUGGUCUUCUGGAAAUUCACUUCUUUUGCCACUUUGACAUCAGUUACCUGCAGGUAAACAAAUACCAAAUAUGAGCAGAAACCCAUUACUUUGGACAAUAAAUGGCCAAAAUCAAGACCAAACAUCAAUGAAUCAAGCAUACAUUUAUCUCCCUAUCAGUUAACAUAUCCUUUUACAGCGUCUGGACUAUUUCAAAGAAGGAAAUUAGAAAGCAAAGGAUAAAGAGAAGCAAGCCGGAGCUAUAGCUUCCUAGAUAUAAAUCAGGUUCAAACUCCAUAUUCAACUGGAAGUUACAACUGAUGAAAUCCUACCACUAAAGUUUCCUAAGAAUAUCCAACAACUAUUAAUCCCUCAAUGGAAUCAGAACUGUAUAUUGUUGGUAUUAGUUCAAUUUUUAUUAUUCUCAAAUAGUAGCAUUUAGUUGAAUUUUAAACUCAACUUUCUUGCUUCAUUAAUUAGUUGGGUGGUGUAUACCGGGGCAAUUAUAUUCCCAAGAUCUUUAAAUAUCACGUACUCUUUUCAGCAUAAUAAGCUGAAAUCAUGGAUGAGCAUCAAUAGAAACUAUUAGUUGCAAAAUUUCAUUAAAAAAUAAAGGAAAGAAAGAGAGAGGGACAAUAAAAUAAGGAUGAAUUAAGGGCGGAUAACUCCCCGAUUAAACCUAAAUAAUCUUUGUAGAGGAUUUUUGAUGUUAUAUUGAUGGAGCACCUUGCAACUUAAUAUUUCUUCAUUUAUAAAGUUUUAUUUUAUUUUAUUUAUUUUUUACCUCCCAUCCCUCACCACACCCUUCAUUUGUAAAGUUUAAGUCUACCUUGAACUUUUUUUUUUCCUAAUAAUUACUUAGUAAAUAUACCUUUUUUUUUAAAUAAGGCUAAUUUGAUAAAAUAUAAAGGAUCUUACACGAGAAGCCAAAUCAUAAGAACCUUAAUGCUAACUUAUCAAUCUACACCCUAACCCUGCGCAAACUGUAAGACCCGACCGAUCUAGAGCGACGUCUCCUUGCACCAAGCGAGGCAAGUCACGGUAUGAUUCAUACGUUCAAAGUUAUUCUUGAGCCCACUCCAAUGUUUGCAAGGCGGUCAGCAGGCUUAUUCCCUUCACAAAGCAAUGCGUCACCGCUCUAAAGAAUCGUCUAUCUUUGGCAGGCUCCUAUAAAUUCCUCGCAGUCUCCAUGGGCACCGUAGUAUCCCGUGAAUAAUCUGAACCAGUACCAAGGAGUCAGAUUCUAAAUGCAAGACCGAAUACCCACCACCAAUAGCUAGCCUAACACCACAAAUAAGCGCUUUCAAUUCCGCCUGUAAACUCGUCAUCUCUCCAAAGAAACAUGAGAACCCCAAAGAAACCUUCCCUCCGAACAUCGGAGCAUCCCUCCCACCCCCACUCUCUCCUGGAUUACCUCUGGAGCAACCAUUCGAGUUCAGCUUGACUACCUGUUGCACGGGACAUCUCCACCGAACCACCAAGGUUUUAUACUCCCACUAGAUACCAGCCACCAUACCGUGGAAGCCCGGCCAAUCUUGUCCAGCGGUACUGUUGCCUUUAAAUUUAAGAUAAAAAAGGUCCCUGAGAUCACGAAAAAUUUCCACACAAACGUGACCACCGACACAGAUGACCUUCAAACAAAAAUUUGCUCCGCAUCUUCCACAAGUUCUAACAUAUUAGAGAUGGCAGUAGCCGAAGAAGAUACUGGAGAUACUGGUUCUGAGUAGGUUUCAACCACCAGCUAACCACCUUAUGUCUUAUUGUAGCGGCAACCCUAAACCCUCCAAUCACCCCUUCGAAGUACUCCCAAAUUCGCUACGCCACUUCCCCAGUGUAAAAAAUGAUCUUUAUUGCAAUCCCUGAGGCCAAAGCAACGAGUAGAUCGAAGAACUGUUUCUCUCUUGGUGAGCAACUUGAUAUGCAGAUGCUAAUAGGGCUGUCAACGGGCCGGAUUAGGGCCGAAAUUAAUAAAUUCGGACCCGGACCCGCAAUACUGUAUUAAUUCCGGACCCGGCCCAAAUACCCGAUAGGUCUCUUAAGCUUUAUCCCGGAACCGCACCUGAUGGUCCUGGGUCUGGGUCGGGCCUACCCGGACAAGACCAGUCAAACAGCCUGCUUUUGCUACUUCAUCAGAAUGGAACUUUGCUACACGAAAAUUACAAAUGUUUCACAUGUUUUAAACUCGAUUACAAAGUUAUUCAAAGCCAAUCACAAACUUAAAUCAAAAUUACAAAUCUAUAUCACAAACCACUCACAAUAACCAUUCUAAAGCCAAUCAAAAAUCAAUCUACAAACUACCAAGUUAUAUAUUAGCAACAAAGCCAAUAUGACAUCCAACAAAUUACAAUUUCUACAAAGUCCAAUCAGGCAUUAAAUUCAAAUACAUCAACCAACAAAUGAAGUCCUACUGCCUUGUAGAUUACAAUAGUCUUCAUGGCUCUCAAGUUUCACAAUUUUCUGCAAUAAAAACAAGGAUAAAAUAUAUUUGUAAACUAAUUACUAACUAAUACAAAAAAAAACCAAAUAAGAAAAGAAAUUGGUCUUACUCAAAUACAUCACCCUAACUUGAGAACUUUAGAAGAAUCAUCCAAGUCAUCUCCAAAUAGCUCUAAGAAAACAAAGAGAAAGAAAGUAGAUUAGUCUUACUAGAGUAACUCAACCAAACAAACUUGUAAUAUGGAUUUAAAAGAAAAAACAACAAAAGAAACAUAAACAUGAAGGAUUUACUUCUUUUCUUUUUCAAAGGUAACCAAUCUCCAGUUGUUAUCAAAGUUUCGACCACAUCAGGAAGCAAAGAAGCACGAGUCUCAUCAAUUACCCUUCCGCCAACGCCACCAGUAGCAGUCCUAACUCUAUCCAUAUCAAUCCAUACCUUAGAUGUUAAUUUCUUUUCCCUAGGUUUCUUACAUGAAUCAUCUUCCUUCACAUCCUCCUCUUUCGAAUCCAAAAUGGCAACCUCAUUCUUAUCAACUGUGCUACUUGGUCCUGUUGGAUUACUUGGCAAAGAUGACAUCCUGCAAUUAGUGAAUAACAGAAUUUAUUAGAUAAACAUGGUACAAGCCUCAGGUAAUUGUGAAAGUUUUCAAGUGAACUCGUUUAUGAUAUGACUUCAUACGGAAGAAAAAGCUAAUGAUACUUUAUUUCUUGUUUAGAACUAUAGUUGAACUAUAGUCCAACUGAAUGUUCUUUUAUGCUCCAUUUUUCUCCUAGCAACAAUACGAUUUUUUUUCACAGAUAACCAUAGCAAGAAGAAGGCAAUAGCUGGGUGUUAACACAUGCAAUUGUCAUUUACCCCAAAAAAAACAAUUAAAUGACUUCUUUGGGCCCUACGAACAUCUAAGAAAGCAAAAGGCAGCGAUAUUAUUUGUCCCUAAUCACUUUUAAAUGAAUAAUGUUGUCUAUUAAAAGCCACUUCUGGCUCGUUUAAUGAUUUGCUAAGUAUUUUUUUUUGACAGAGCAAUUAUGACGGUUUAGUUAAAAAAAUACUAAAGUUGUUCUUGACUCUUUUUUUUCUUUAAUAUGAUUGUGUGGGUUUAUAUGGUAACAAUUUGUUGAAAAUGAUUGCAUCUUUUGUUACUUGUUUCCUUCUCCAACACAAAAUUAUUAAAGUUGAGGAACUCCAGCAGCAACGAUGAUAGUUUCAAAUUGAUUUCAAUUACGUUAAACUAACAGCAACAGACUCUGAGUUAUAUUUCAUGUUAAGUAUCAUAUUAAUCUAAUUAAUUUAUUGAGACAAUCACAGGUACUGAAAAAUUUUAAAAAAAUACCUGUGAUUGUGCGAAAGAAAGCUGGGCUGCUAGAAGCCUGGAAGAGUUGGGCUUCGACCGGAUCUGCAACCGUCAGGCGUCAGAGAUGGAGAAAGCUCACCGGCGUUAGAGAUGGAGAGUGCAAGAGAGAAGAGAGUGAGACUGGACCAGGUUGGGCUUCUUUGGAGCUGGCCAGACUCGACGGUUUCUUUGGAGCUGGGCUUCUUUGGAGCUGGAGAAUGGAGUUGGAGAGAGUCGAGAGCGUCGCCGGUUUCAGUGGAGAUGGAGAGAUGGAGAGAGUCAGAGAGCGUCGCUGGAGAUGGAGAGAUGGAGCUGGAGAAUGGAGAUGGAAGAGCGGACUGGUCAAUGGUCACUAGCGGAGACGGGGCCGCGGGAGGCAGAGCAAAAGAGAAAAGAGAGUGAGGGGAAAAUGGAUGUGUGUAGCGGUGGGUAUUAGGGUUCGAAAGAUUUGGGAAUGAAAUUAUGACAGUAGUAUUGAUAUGAAUAAUUGAUAGCUAGGUAUAUAUUUUUAAUUACUAAUUAAUAAAAAAGGGUUCGGGUUGGAUACGGGUCGGAAUGGUAUAUUCCGUAUCCGACCCACAAAGUUAUUAGAAAAAAUGGGUCCGGUCAGCCCUAGAUGCUAAUGAGAAGUCACCUAAAGUACUUGGAGUCCAAACCAUGGUAUCCUCUUGGUCCAAAGAAGGAGACACCAUAUCCAAAAUCUGCCCUACCCAUCGACUAGGCACCAUAGUGCGCAGCCAUUGUAUAUUCCAGCAACCCUGGUCAACAAAAUCAAACACAGCACAUUCCUGAAAGGAAUCCACUUGACGACAGAGUGGACUCGUACCCAGCCAAUUAUCAUGUCAAAAACUCACAUCACCCCUAGCGAAAACCCAACCUACAUGUUGCUCAGUAAUCCCCUCGAUAAACACCAUUCUCUUCUAAGUCCAAGAAUCCCCGAGGGAAGCAUUAGCAAAACAAGGGUAAAGAUUGGGACAAUAUUUGCAGUGCAUGAACUCAGCCCACAAAGAUUGCCGCAGCCGGAAGUGCCACCAUAGUCUUAUCGAGAAGGCAUCAAACACAUGCUCCAAUGAUCUCAAACCCGCACCCCCUUUCAUGUGACUUGUAUAGCUGAUCCCAUUUUAACCAGUAAAAUCAUGGCCCAGCCUUUGAGGAGCUCCAUAGAAACAUUGCAAAAAUUUUGUUCGACGUGCUAAAGAUUGACUUGGGGGGGUGGACGCAACAAAUGUAUGAAGAGGCAUAGAAGAUAGCCACUCUUGAUUAGAGCCGAUUUGCCACUGUACAAUAGUAAUCUCCCUUUCCAUGACAACAUCUUCCUCGUGACCGAGUCACAAACUCCCGAAAAGUAGCAUCUCUUCCGCCGCCCUACAUAUAAUGGGCAACCCAAAUAUUUAACUGGAAACUCCUUCGUCUGGAACCCAAUUAUUUCCGCAAUAGAAUGUUUCCGGGUCCUGGGGAAAUUGACAGGAGUCACAAAACAACUCUUUUGCUGAUUGACCUUUUGCCCCGACAUUGAAACAUAAUCAUCCAGAACCUUUAUAACCAACAGCACCGACCACUUCAACCCACUUGUAAAGAUAAUAAUAUCAUCUGCAUAAGCUAAAUGAGUGACAGGCGGACAACCCGGCAGAACUCUAAAAGACGUGAAGCCCGAUGACUACCCAAAGAGUUGAGAAGGCGAGAGAGGACUUCCGCACUAAUCACAAAUAGCGCCGGUGAAAUCAGAUCUCCCUGUCUCAAUCCACGACUAGAUUUAAAGAAUCCCUGAGGCGCACCAUUAAUUAUCACUGAAAACCACACAUUCGAAAUAAUCCUCCAUAUCAUAUCAAUCCACACCUCGCCAAACCCAAACCUUCUUAGCACUUGUAACAGAAAUGGUCAGGAGACUCUAUCAUAGGCUUUGGCCAUAUCAAACUUUAACACCACAUUUCCCCCUCUGUUCUUCCAACGAAUAUCAGACACCAACUCCUUAGCCAACAAAAAGUUGUCAAAAAUUUGCCUACCCUUAACAAAGCCACUCUGCUGAAGGGAUAUAAUACUUAGCAGAACCUUUGACAAACGGGUAGCCAAAGUUUUUGAAAUGACUUUGUUGACGAAGUUGCAAAGGCUUAUGGGUCGAAAUUAGUCUACCUUGAACUGAAAAUAGUUUUUCCAUUCACAUUUUUCCAUCCAUUUGCAGUAUUCUCAAAGCCAAUCUAUGUAUGCAUGGUGAACACAGCAAUACUAUAUAUUAAACGGAUGGUUUGCAUAAACCACAAUCCGGUUUACUACAAAGGUAUGACAUUAAAUUUUGAUGGUUUGCUCAUCUAAAGUACAUGGUUAUUUAGAUAACUUAUUGUCAUCAAAACUACAAACAUAGAAAAAAAUUUAAAACACCAAAUAGUGAAAUAACCACGUACACAUGAAACUUCAACUGUUAAAAAAAAAACUUUUCUACCCACAAAUUUGCACACCUUCUUGUAUCAACUUCAGCUGCCGGAUUACCCACACAGUUCAGAGACCUAUAUGCAUGCAAAUAUCAAAUUUCAGAUAUCCGUCGUCGGUAUCUGUGGUCAGCUCUACUACCCCAAGUUUUCUUGAAAAUCUUGGCUUCAGCAUUCCCACGGCGGUACUGUUGCUUCCAAGUUGGGCAACGAUGAAGCUGCAUAUUAUAAACAUUUAUUGCAAGGGUGAUUUUAAUUAAAUUGAAGAAUGGCAAGAGAUUGAGAGUGAUAAUACCUAUAGUAAAGGCGAGUAGAAGCACCACGAACACUGAUUUAGUCGCACCCUUCUCCAUGUUUAUUGUUUGUGCUUCGAUUUCAACAAACUAAAAUCUUGUGUGUUUUCUUCGGACUUUGGCUUCUGAAUUUAUAGGGAUGACUUUCCAUUAAACAAAUGGUAUAUAGUUUGGUGGCCAUGUUUCGUGAACGUCUCAGCUGGAAGGGCAAGAAUCAAGUGACCAGGUGCUAUUGGCUUUUUCAAGUUAACUCAAAUUUCUUGCCCGAUAAUGCGGAAAUGCAUUCAGCAUUUCCAAAUUCCACAAUUAACUAAAUAAAUCCCCGUAAGGGUCAUGACCUAUACAUUGCGGUUGAGAAUUCACUCAAAAAUUGUAACUAGGACACGAUACUAGUCUUAGCAUAUGAGGUGUAGGCAAAUUUAUUCUAAUAGAUAAAUGUGACAUAUAAAAUUUGAGUAAAUUUUAUAUACAUUGAUAUUAUAUGCACUAUCAUAGUUUGAUGUAUUACAUAUAUGUAAAAUUUAGAUUUUAAAUUUAAAUUUACGUUAAUUGUUAUACAUCCAAACUUGACAGUACAUAUAUUAUUAUUGUAUAAAAAAUUAAUCUAUAAAAUUUCAACUAAAAAUUUGACUAAAAUGAUGUUGGGAAUAGCCUACAAAUGAUGAUCAUCAUCGCUUCUUUCAUAACCUACAAAUGUUGGACUUAAAUAAGAAAAAAAAAACUACUAAUGUUUGUUGACCUUCAGUUUCGUUAUGUGCCAUACAGCAUCAUUCAUCGAACAAAGAAUUCCAAGAAGUAUAUUUCCUUCAAAUUCCACGAGUCUCUAAUGGCUCUUUAGCUUCUUAAUCCCAAUGAAGAAAAAGGUACAAAAAUAAGACUCACUAAAGUUUUUUUCUUGAAAGAAUUUGCUUUUUAGUCCUAAUAAAGAAAAAGAGAGUGAACAAAUGUAAUUGAAAUUGAUCAUCCACGAAUUGAGUUAAAAAAAACAUAUAUCAAAUUUUAGAAUCUAAGAAAAGUCUACCUCUUACACCUUGGACUUACCUUGAGUUUUAAUCGCCUUUUUUUUUUUGAACUUUUAUCGGAGAUGUGCGUUUCAUUCUUACAGGACACAUAGUUAUUGAUUUAUCAUUCAAUAAUCAAUGAUUAAUUUUCUGUGUCUGACAAGAUUACUAUUGAAUUACUUCAUUAAUUGAUAGGUCAAUAAUUGAAAAAUCACCUUUACUAGACAAACGAACUAACUAGUCUUUGAUGAUUAAAUUGAACAUGGAAUUUACAUUUUGAAUGGUUGAAAAUCAAAGCAAAGGAUUAUCAUGAAGGUAAAUAUAAUCGGUACAAACUCGAGAAGUAUUGAUACCUUUCUUCUUUUUUCCUAAUAAAAAGCAAAUUUCAUGAAUGAAUUGCUAGAAAUAGUUCAGUAUGAUUUGAUUUACGACGCUACCCCAAUAGCAGGUUAAACAUGUACUAGAAAUAACUAUUCAAAUAUGUAAUUUAACAGAUAUUUAAACAGAUCUGAAAAAAUAUAAGAAAUUUUCAAAUUGUCUUCCAACAAAAUAGAUUAUUGCAACUUCCUUUUGUAUAUGUUGCAAUCACCAGAUAUGCUAAUCAACAGAUUAAGUUCUAGUAAUGAUGAUGAGAUCUAUCAAGAGAGAUCCAAGACCCAAAAAAAUUUAAUACUUGACAACUAGAUCUGAAAUAAAUUCGGAUAUAAUAACAAAAGAAGAAAAAAAAUUCUCACUAGAAACCCAUACAAAAAAUAGAAAAUUCUCACUAGAAACCCUAGGAGAAACAGAGAACUCUUACUAAAAAAAUUUAUAAGAGACUUUAUGAAAACAAAAUAAAACGAAAUCUGUUACCCUCCCGAAGAGAGGCAUUAUGAAAAGAGAAGAAAAAGUAUAAAAGUUGGAGAAAAGAGAGAGAUACCUUUCUGAUGUUUCACAAUUCUAUUUUGAUCUAUGUUUUUUAAACUCAGACUGAAGAGUGAUUCAGCUGAGAUCAGGGGUCAGGGAUCAAUGAAUUUGAUUGGAUCGGACAAGUAUUAAAAAUCAUAUGACGUCAGCAUGAUAUCAUAAAAAUUUUAUUUUAUUAUAUGCAAUAGUACAUAUAAAAUAUAUUGUUAAUAUGAAUAAAAGUGUUCAUUUUAUCUCUCAAGUUUUAUUUCCCAACAUUCUAUAAUUCAAUACCUUUUGAAUCUAGCUCAAAUUUGAUAUUUUAAAGCUUUAAACACAAAUUGAUCGACUUAGAACUAAAUUUGUAACGCUAUUUGAGAAUGUAAAGACAUUCAAGCUACAUAUGAUAUUUAAAAAAAGUUCAUGGGAGCAAUUUGGUUGUUUGAAAGUUUUAGGGGUCAAAACAAAAAGAUGAAAAAGCUACAGACAAACGUGCAAAUUAAUGACUUUCUUUGCUUCCUGAGAGCACAGAAAGGGUCGCCGUGCUCUGCUUCUUCAGCUUCUGUAUCUCUGUGGUUCUGAGUUUUUUUUCCUUUUUUUUUUUUUUUACUUUCAAAGCCUUAUCUUGUUUUCUUUCUUCAUCAAAACAAAACAUCAAAUCAUCUAUUCUUUACAUUCUUUGCUUGUUCUUCUGUUUUUCAAGUUUCUAAUUCAAAGUUUAGAUCAGCAAUUUUUCCUUUCUUUCUUGCUUUGCUUUUUUUCUUUUGAUUUGUCCAUUUCGAUGUUAGAUUGUGAUUGAUCUUGCUUGAGUAUGAUUCGUUUUUUUUUUCUCCUCCAAAGAAUUAAGAAAAAUAAAAAAGAAAAAAAAGAAAAAUAGAAGGAAAAAAGCGCUGAAAAAAGAAAAGUGAAAAACCCGGUUCGGACUGAUUUUACUUAUUUCUGGCCAAAUCCGAUUUUUUACCUAGUUUUUUACAGAUAGAUUUUUGUGGAGACUUGGACCAGAGGGUUGCUUCUGACCGAUUCUCGGUUCAAUUGGUCGGAUCAACCAAUCUGAUUCGAAUUUAAAAACAUAUAGAUUUUGGUUCAAAAUGGAAUAACAAAAGCUAGAAAACCAAGCAACUCUCCAUGUCAUCCAAACUAGCAGAAAAUUUUUUUUAAAAAAAUCUAUGUCCAGCUAUAAUCAUCUUAUCUUCCUUGGCAAUUCACCAAUGAACCCGUAUUUGGUACGCAAAAAUGACCUGAAAAAAAAAAAAGAUCUUUCCAACUUGUUCAUUCUAUUCUAAAUUUGGCAUGGAUUAUUCAAGUGGGAAACCCCUUUCCCCUUGAAAUGUUCAUUCCAACUUUUUCCUAAAAUUGCAUUCCUAAAAAAAAAAUCUAAGGAAAGCUCUUUCCAACUUCAUCCUAAAACGUCUAAAUUUGUAAGAUGUCAAUUUUAUCCUUAUAAAUCUUUUCUCUAUCACCAUAUCCUAGAAUAUUUGUGAGUUCAAUUAAUAGUUAAAUGUAAUUUUUCUAAAUAAAUAAUUUUUCCUGGGUUUAAAAUAAUUUUUUUAUUAGCAAACAAAUAUUUUAAGAUACUUUAUUCUUUGACAUUUAAACAAUUGUGUGAAUUUUUUGUAUUUUAUAUAAAAAAUGAAAACUUAAUAAAAUAUAAUAUAUAUAUUUUUGGCUUCAUGUAAUUUAUAUUUUGCAUUGCUUAUUAAUUAAUUAUAUUGCUAGUAGAUGCAAAAUUUUAAUGUAAAAAUCUAUAUGCUAGAAUGACUUAAAUAUUGCAAUUGAAAAUUUUUAAUAUCAAUCAUCAAUUAUUUUGAAAGCAAAAUAAUGUCAAAAUUCCAUAUAAGCAAACAAAUAACAUAGUAUAACAAAUAAAACAUGUUAUGCUCUAUAAAUUAAUCCAAGGCAAUUAAGUCAAUUUUGUAUUAAUUAUAUUUCAUUCUGACAUCUGAAUGUGGAUUAUACCAAACAUUGAAAAAAGAAUGAAUAUUCCAUUCUGACUUGUAUACUAGUCACAAGAAUGAUAAGUUUUUCUUCCUAGCAUUUUCGGUGAAAAGGCAUUGUGGAUGGAAAUACCUUUCCAUUCUGGCCAUUCCUACAUACCAAACGACGGGUGAAUGUUUCUUUGUAGGCCCAUCUAGAGUUCCUAAAAACAAGAAAAAGGUCGAAAAGAAUAAAAUCAGCUAGAUGUAAAAUUUUGCUGCAACAAUAAUCCUUACAAUUUGCAAAAUGUAACCAUUACCAUGUAACUUUGGCUCAAGUGAUCAUGAGUUGAGUAAAAGAAGGGUCUAAUGCCAUUUCAUGCCCUUAAACUUGUAUCUCAUUCCUACUCUGCACCAUUUAAGCUCUUGCGUUGGGACACUCGUAGAAUAAGAACAUUUGUAAGUGUAUAACUGCAUUAAUCAAAGUGUGUAUUUUGUAAAGGGUAAAACUAAUUUGUCAACUUGUGAUACUAACCUUUCUAAUUAUGUAGAAUAUAAAAAAGCCUGGGGCAAUCUUUUUUCCAACGAAUCAAAUCAUUUAUACAUAUUUAUUUGACAUGCCUCCAACAGGUAUUAUUUUUAGGACAAUUUCAUUGACGGGGAUUUCCUGAACCAUUUAUCUAUGUUGUGUACGAAAUCAACAAUCGUAACCUUGCUGGAAUUUGACACAUUAUUAUUUCUUGACUCUAGCACAACACCAUUAAAGUUUACCUUUGGGCAACUGAAAGUUAAAUUGAAACUGCUUCAAACAAAAAGAAGAAAAAUAAUCAAAUUGAAGCACUCAAGUAAAUGUAAUUUUCAGUUCCAAAGGGGAUGGACAACCAUCCAUAUAACAUGCAGUGAAAUGUUUGUCAUUGCACGGCUGGCUUGGUGCCACAAAAAUUCAAAUUGAAGAAUCAAGUAGUAUUUUCAAAUGUUCAAACAAAAAUGGGAUUUUGAAUUCCCAAUUACAGUAAGGGGUGGCCAUCAAUCUUGACUAGAAAAAGUUAUGUCAAAUGCAAACCGGGAGGGCUGUUGCUCAACAGCAGAUUGAAUUAAGCAUUUCAGACCAGAAAAGUGGGAACAAAUCUGUCGUGAUCAGAAAAGUUAGUUUGGCACCUUACUAAGAAUAGCAUUUUUUCAGUAAAAUGUGCUUAUCAUCUUAUCAGACAACAAUCUUUAGAUCAAUCGCAUUUAGCAUCGGGAGUGACGGUGCCGGAUGGAAAUCUUGGAAGCACCUCUGGACUCUUCACAUACCAAACAAGACUAAAAUUUUCCUUUGUAGUUCCUCUCAGCUUCCUUGGUGGUUCCCAGGGUGUGUUAGGGUAUCAGGCCAAUUAUUUGAAAAAAGGAAAAGACCAACAAUUUAAUAGAAAACAAUAUUUAACACGAAUAAUGAACAACACACAAGAAUUAACGUGGUUCGGCUUAAUCACCAAGCCUACGUCCACGGAGAGAAAAACUUGUUCUUACUAUGAGAGAAAAAUACCACAAGAUUACAACUUGAUUCCCAAGCCCCAACUCUUGUAUAACCCUCUCACCCACUAAGAACUCUCUCACUCCUUUCUUGUAUGUUUGUAGUAUGCCAAUCUACCUAUUUAUAGAGAACAUUACUUGGCCAAAAAACCAAAUAACAAUUUGAAACCAAUACUAAUUCCUAAACUCAUAUAGAGUAGGAAAUAACAUCUAAUUCUAAACCAAAUAGGACUUUACUUGACUACUACUUCAAGUAACUAAAAUCUAAGUAGGAAACUAGUUACUUUCCACACCAACUAAGAAUUCUACUUAAAAGAAAUUAAACCAAUUUCCUAACAGGGUGUUCCUAAUCGCAAACGUCCCAGACCAUUAAAAGGACUUGCUAAGGUUAGAGCGCAAAAUGUCUAAAGUUGAUGUUUAGAGUACAAAAUAAGAGGUAUAAAUUCAAGGUUGCAAACUUGAAAGAGUGCGUAAAAAUAAAACGUAAUAAAUAUUUGAUGGUGACUUCUCGUACAAAUUCAGGAAAAGAUAUUAAUUUGAAUUAAACACUGGCAGCACUGGCCACGUACGUCAAUGUUGUUGUAAUUUUGUUAAUUGUGGUGUCCAUACAUGUCCAGGUCUACACUCACCUACAAUAUCAAGUUGUAACCCUAAUGUGUAUAGUUUACCUAGGCAUUUUAAAAAUUAUUCGAUGACUAAGAUGAUAAUGUCCUCUACUUUCCCUAGGAAGUUAACAAUAUCUCAAAAACACAAAUAAUUAACUAAAAUAACUUUGACCAGGAACGAGAUUGGUACUUGAUUUCAUACAUUGGGUUCUCUAUAAAUUUUCACGCAAUUUCUAUGGUUAAGCACACCACCGAAGAAAUGACUUUGCUAUACACAUUUGUUUUGCUUUUCCUCUUUGCUUUAGCUUUCAAGUUUUUGUAAUGGAAAAACAAAAUAUCCCUCCAACUCCAGCUCCAGCUCUAGCCCUAGCUCCAGCUCUCCCAAUUAUAGGCCAUCUUCACCUUAUAAAGAAACCCUCCAUCGAAGCCUACACAAAUUGACUGGUAGGGAUUGUGAUGUGAUGGUAAUUACACACUGCCACCUAAUAGAAUGGAUAGAUUUAACUUUUAACGAGUCAAACGCGAAUUUCCUUACGAGUGUCUUGGACCAUUAAUAGCACUAGCUAAGUUAUACAUUCCGUGCACAGCCUUCGUAAUGUUAUUAUUCAUGGGAUUUAAGUCAGACAAUCUAAGAUAUUCAAGUGCAAAAUGUCUAGAAUUGAAGUCUAAAAUAUAAAGUCAGGCAAAAAUAUAAAUUUAGGGGUACAAAUUGGAAUUAGCCAAAAAGACAGAGAAUGAAGAAAACGUUUGGAUAAUAAUCCACUUGCAUAAAUUCAAGAAAAAUGUUAUUACGUCAACGUAUUUGUGUUGUUAAAUGUAGGAUCCUUACGUGUCCAGGUCUACACUCAGCUAUAAGAAUGUUAGGAAUUGAUUUAAUUUCUUUUAGGUAGGUUUCUUGUUUUGUGUGGAAGUAACUAGUUUCUUAAUUGGUUAUGUUACUUGAAAUGGUAGUCAAGGAAUUUCCUAUUUUGUUUAGAAUUAGAAGUUAUUUCCUAUUCUGUACAAGUUUAGGAAUUAGAAUUGGUUUCCUGUUGUUAUUUGAAUUUUUUGACCAAAUAACAUUCCCUAUAAAUAGGUGGGUUGGCAUACUAUACAAGGACACACAAGGAGUACAAAAGGGCAACAUAUAGCCUUAUACAUGGGGGCGAGAAAGGGUUCUUGAAAGAUGAGAGAUGGUAAACAAGAGUUGGAUUUGGAUUCAAGUUGUAUUCUUGUAUAGGGUUUUCCUCUCAUAAUAAAUAACGGAUUUCUCUCCGUGGACGUAGACUCAAUGGUGGAGUCGAACCAUGUUAAAUAUUGUGUGUCGCUUAUCUUUCAUGUUUGUGGCUUGUUUGUCAUUAAAUUAUUAUAUACUUGAUAUCUCAAUAGUUGUUUGUUCCGCAUUUGGAUCCUAACAAGUGGUAUCAGAGCUUGGUUGCGAAACUGGGCUGUUCACAAGUACUUGGAUCCCAACAAAUGGAAUGGUUGGAUUAAAAGUUUGGUUGUUCAAGGUUAGGUCCUAGUAAACUAUUGAGAUCAAGUGGAUUAGCUGUUGUUACCAAUUGAACAAUUUAAUGGAUGAUAUUCUUGUUUCAAUCACUUAGCAAGAAGUAUUGAUGGUAAAGGAUGGAAAGUCGAAAAGCAUGGAGAUACUUGACGAUGAAUCUAGGCAGGUGAUUCAAGAGUCAAGAAAAAGGUGGAACCCAAUGUUGAUUUUGGACGUGAAUCGGUGAAAACUUUUUCACACCUCCAACGAUUGAUAUUUCAUCCCGGUGGAUUUUAGAUGUUGGUUAUGUUCUUUGAGUGGUGUGGCACGUGUCCCAAAGAAACAAAGAGAUCUAAUUUUCAUGCACCAGAAGACUCUAACAGUUAAGAGUUUUUCAUUUAGGUGGAGUCUUGGAAACCACACGUGGCGAGAUAGUCCUGAGGAUGGGAACAUGUAUGGUGAUUUUAUCACUUGGUUACCUUAAUGAUUAGGGUUAGAGCUCACAGAAGGGAAUCCAAAUUGCAAGUGAUGGUGAGAAAAAAUCCUGCAAAGGGAGAUGGUGAAUUGAGGCAUCUUCUCACGAGUCAACUGAAUGUUGGAUUCGAGGUAACUAUAUAUGUUCAUUUGCCGAUUGAAUCAAUUUGGUGUCAGGACUGUAUUGAUUCGGAUGUGUAGUUCGGUACCAUAUUAUUUGGUAGUUGAAAGUAAAUGGUUGCUAAAAGAAAUUUUCGCCAAGAUGGAGAUUUGUUAAGAAAUUGGCUUAAUUUCUUUUAGGUAGGUUUUUUGUUUUGUGUGGAAGUAACUAAUUUCCUAAUUGGUUUUAGUUACUUGAAAUAGUAGUCAAGGAAUUUCCUAUUUUGUUUAAAAUUAGAAGUUAUUUUCUAUUCUGUACAAGUUUAGGAAUUAGAAUUGGUUUCCUGUUGUUAUUUGGAUUUUUAGCCAAAUAAUGUUCCCUAUAAAUAGGUGGGUUGGCAUACUACGCAAGAACACACAAGGAGCACAAAAGGGCAACAUGUAGUCUUAUACAUGGGAGUAAGAGAAGGUUUUUGGGAGAUGAGAAAUGGUAUACAAGGGUUGGGUUUGGGUUCAAGUUAUAUUCUUGUAUAGGGUUUUUCUCUUAUAAUAAAGAACGGGUUUCUCUCCGUGGACGUAGGUUCAAUGGUGGGGUCGAACCAUGUUAAAUAUUGUGUGUCGUUUAUCUUUCAUACUUGUGUGGCUUGUUUGCCAUUAAAUUGUUGUAUACUUGAUAUCUCAAUAGUUGUUUGUUCUGCACUUGAAUCCUAACAAAGAAUAGUCCCCACUUCUUGUGAUUUACAUGGUUUGAUGAGUAAGACUGCUCCAUUUCAAAACACAAAUAAUUAACUAAGAUAGCUUUGAAGAGCAACCAUAUUGGUACUUGUUUUCAUUCAUAUAGAUUCUUUAUAAUUUCCAUACGAGUUCUAAGGUUAUGCAACAAUGGAGGAAACUACUUUGUUAUACAAAUUACUCUCCCUUUUCCUCUUUGCUUUAGCUUUCAAGUCAUUACAAAGGAAAAGCCAAAAUAUCUUUCCAAGUCCAGCUCUAGCUCUCCCUAUGAUAGGCCAUCUUCAACUCAUAAAAAAACCUCUCCAACGCAUCCUACACAAAUUGUCUCAAAAAUGUGGCCCAAUCUUUUCUCUUAAGUUCGGCAACCGCCUUGUGGUUGUAGUAUCUUCAUCCUCUAUGGCGGAGGAAUGUUUGUCCAAGAAUGAUAUCAUGCUGGCCAACCUGCCGCAGUUUCUCAUAGGCAAGUACAUAGGAUACAACUACAAUAACCUAGUUGAUUCCCCAUAUGGUGACCAAUGACGCAAUCCUCGUAAGCUUUCUGCUAAUGAAAUAUUCUCUCCUACUCAUCUAAACAUGUUUUUAUCCAUUUGACGAGAUGAAAUCAUGCGUUUACUUCAAAAAUUGUAUGAGAUUUCACACGAUGGUUUUGCAAAAGUUGAGCUGAAAUCCAAGUUUUUAGAGCUUUCCUUUAAUGUUAUCAUGAGAAUGAUUAAUGGAAAGAGAUAUUUUGGUGAAGAUGAAGAAAGCGAGGAGGCUAAAAAAUUUCAGGGCCUUAUUCGUCAAACGUUUGAACAUGCUGGUGCAUCAAAUCCUGGAGAUUUCUUGCCAGUAUUGAGAUCGCUAGACUACAAAAGUUUUGAAAAGAGUUUAGCAAGGAUAAGUAUGGAUAUGGACGUAUUUUUCCAAGGUCUAGUUGAAGAACGCCGUAGUGACAAGACCAAGAAUACCAUGAUUGACCGUUUGCAGACACUGCAAGAAUCACAGCCGAAAUACUACAAGGACGAAGCCAUUAAAGCAAUGAUUAUGGUAAAGAUUAAUCAGUCAGUCUUCCUUAGAUUUCAUUUCCAAAAUAAGAAUGAUUUGUUUCAGAUGUCCUCCAUAAAACAAAAAUUUUAUUCCAUUAAACUUUUUAGAAAAUUUUAUGCAAAUCUCAAGUUCUCAGCACAAGUUAUUUCGUAAAUGCAGGUCCUACUGCUUGCUGGAACGGAUACAUCAUCUGCCACCAUAGAAUGGGCAAGGUCUCUUUUACUCAAUCAUCCCAAAGUGUUGGAGAAGGCAAAAGCAGAACUUGAAACUCAUGUAGGAAUUCAUCACCUGAUUCAGGAAGAUGAUUUAUCCAAACUGCCUUACGUUCACAACAUCAUUUUGGAGACCUUGCGUUUAUUCCUAGCAGUACCACAUAAGUCUUCUGCCAGUUGCAAAGUUGGGGGAUAUGAUUUUCCAGGCGGGAAAAUAUUGCUAGUAAAUACAUGGAGCAUCCAUAGGGAUCCCAAGGUUUGGGAUGAUCCUACAAGCUUCAAGCCUGAGAGAUUUGAAGGACUACAAGUGGAAACAAGCAAGCUGAUGCCAUUUGUGUUAGGUUUGGUCUCAAGAAAUGGACCAACGAGAAUAAUAGGAUUCUUGACAAUUCAAUAAUGACAAUAACAAAACAAAAAAAUCAAAUAGAGAACACAUGAAAUUUACAUGGUUCAUUCAAACUGACCAACGUCCACGAGCGAAGGAGUAGCAAAUUUACUAUAAUAGAAAGAGAGUAUAAAAGAAAGAGUACAAAAUCCUAGGAAAUAAUUCCCAAAUUCAAAAGACACCUAAAACUGAAAACACAAAAGAGUUUAAAUAGUUCUAAAUGCUUAAUGGCCCAAAAGCCCAUGAUUUGCUCUUUUGGUUUGAUACUAAGCCAAAACCUCUCUUAGACUCAGACGUGGGCCUCCCAAAAACUCUCUUGGACUGGUAUUUAUGGCACUUGGACUAAUACCCUUUGCACAAUUAAACUCACUUAAACCCGCUACAUUUAUAACCAACAAGAAGAGAUACUUCUUUAGAUAAGUUCCGAUAUGGGAUACAAAGACACACUUAACAAAUUUUCACCUUGGUGUGUAUCCAACAUAGGUACAUAGUAAACAAAUAGCAAACAAGUUCCACCUUCUCCAUAAAAGUCCUAACGAAUCUCAACGAACCACAAAAGUCCCAACGAACCACAACGAGCCACCAACGAACCAAAAUACGAAAGGUUCAACAGGUCCCAACUGGCCAAAUCUCAAAAAGGUUCAACUGAUCCCAACGGGCUAAAAAUCACGAGCAUGGUAAUCUUGCUUCACCUUCUUCUCAAACCCUCAACGAGUUCCAACGAGCCAAAUAAUUCUUCUCCAAAACCCAACUUAACUCCAACAAUUUUUUUUCUUCACUUUCUGUAGAGCCCAAAACCUGUUAUUGUCAUUAAGAACCCAAAAUCUGACUUGAUCCAAAAUCUGAAACUCUGAUACCAAUUUGUUAGGUCUGGUGCCAGGAAAUUGACCAACAAGAAUAAUAGAGUUCUUGACAAUUCAAUAAUGACAAUAACAAAAUAAAUAAAUCAAACAGAGAACACACGAAAUUUACGUGGUUCGGUCAAACUGACUUACGUCCACGGGCGAAGGGGUAGCAAAUUUACUAUAACAGAAAGAGAGUACAAAACCCUAGAAAAUUAUUCUCAGGUCCAAAAGGCACCUAAAACUGAAAAUACAAAAAAGUCUAAAUAGCACUAAGUGCUUAAUGAUCCAAAGACCCAUGAUUUGCUAUUUUGGCUUGAUGUCAAACCAAAACUCCUCUCAAACUAGGGUGUGGACCCCAAAAACUCUCUUGGAUUGGUGCAUAUGGCAUUUGGACUAAUGCCCUUAGCACAUUUAAACUCACUUAACCCUACUAUAUUUAUAACCACCAAGAGGAGAUACUUUUUUUAUAAAAGUCCCAAUGUAGGAUACAAAGACACACUCAAUAAAUCUCCACCUUGACGUGUAUCCAACAUCGGUAAAUAGUAGACCAAUAGCAAACAAGCUCUACCUUCUCCAUAAAAGUCCCAAUGGAUCUCAACGAAUCACUAAAGCCCCAACAAACCACCAACGAACCAAGAUGCAAAAGACUCAACAGGUCCCAACAGGCCAAAUCUCACAAAUGGUUCAACAAAUCCCAACGGACUAAAAAAUCAUGAACAUAGUAAUUUUGCUCCACCUUCUUCUCAAAACCCUCAAUGAGUUCCAAUGGACCAAAUAACUCUUUUUCAAAACCCAACUAAACUCCAGCGAAAUUUUUUUUUCUUCACUCUCUGUAGUACCAAAUACUUGUUAUUGUCAUCAAGAACCCAAUAUUUGACCAUGACCCAAAACUUGAUACUCUGAUACCAAUUUGUUAGGUUUGGUCCCGAGAAAUUAGCCAACGAGAAUAAUAGGAUUCUUGACAAUUCAAUAAUGAUAAUAACAAAAUAAAUAAAUCAAACAAAGAAUACACGAAAUUUAUGUGAUUCGGUCAAAUUAACCUACAUUCAUGGGCGAAGGGUUGCAGAUUUACUAUAACAGAAAGAAAGUACAAAACCCAAGAAAAUAAUUCCAGAUCCAAAAGGCACCUAAAACUGAAAAUACAAAAAAAUCUAAAUAGCACUAAAUACUUAAUGGUCCAAAGGCCCAUGACUUGCUCUUUUGGUUUAAUAGUGUGUCUUUGUAUCCUACAUCGGGACUUUUAUAAAAAAUAAAAAAAAAUAUCUCCUCUUGGUGAUUAUAAAUAUAAUAGGGUUAAGUGAGUUUAAGUAUGCUAAAGGCAUCAACCCAAGUGUCAUAUGCACCAACCCAAGAGAGUUUUUGGGGGUCCACACCCCAGUCUGAGAGGAGUUUUGGUUUGGCAUCAAACCAAAAGAGUAAGUCAUGGGCCUUUGGACCAUUAAACAUUUAGUGCUAUUUAGACUCUUUUUGUGUUUUAAGUUUUAGGUGCCUUUUGGAUCUGAAAAUUAUUUCCUAGGGUUUUGUACUCUCUUUCUGUUAUAGUAAAUUUGCCACCCCUUCGCCCGUGGAUGUAGAUCAGUUUGACAGAACCAUGUAAAUUUCGUGUGUUUUCUGUUUGAUUUAUUUAUUUUGUUAUUGUCAUUAUUGAAUUGUCAAGAACCCUAUUAUUCUCGUUAGUCAAUUUCUUGGGACCGGACCUAACUAAUUGGUAUUAGAGCUUCAGAUUUUGGGUCAUGGUUAGCUAGAUUUGGGUUCUUGAUGACAAUAACAAGUAUAUGGUACUAUAGAAAGCGAAGAAAAAAAAAAUUUCGCUGGAGUUCAGUUGGGUUUUGGAGAAGAGUUAUUUGGCCCGUUGGAACUGGUUGAGGGUUUUGAGAAGAAGGUGGAGCAAAAUUACUAUGUCCGUGGUUUUUAGCCCAUUGAGAUCUGUUGAACCAUUUGUGAGAUUUGGCCCGUUGGGACCUAUUGAGCCUUUUGCAUCUUGGUUCGUUAGUGGUUUGUUGUGGUUCGUUGGGACUUUUGUGGUUCGUUGAGAUCCGUUAGGACUUUUAUGGAGAAGGUAGAGUUUGUUUGCUAUUUUUUACUAUUUACCGAUGUUGGAUACACGCCAAAGUGGGGAUCUGUUGAGUGUGUCUUUGUAUCCCACAUCGAAACUUUUAUAAAAAUGUAUCUCCUCUUGGUGGUUAUAAAUAUAGUAGGGUUAAGUGAGUUUAAGUGUGGUAAGAGCAUUAGCCCAAGUGUCAUAUGCACCAACCCAAGAGAGUUUUUGGGGGUCCACACCCCAGUCUAAGAGGAAUUUUGGUUUGGCAUCAAAUCAAAAGAGCAAGUCAUGGGCCUUUUGGUCAAUAAGCAUUUAGUGUUAUUUAGACUCUUUUAUAUUUUCAGUUUUAGGUGCCUUUUGAACCUAGAAAUUAUUUCUUAGGAUUUUGUACUCUUUUUUGUGCUUUUUUCUAUUAUAGUAAAUCUGCUAUCCAUUCGCCCGUGGACGUAAGUCAGUUUGACCAAACCGCAUAAAUUUCGUGUGUUCUAUGUUUGAUUUAUUUAUUUUGUUAUUGUUAUUAUUGAAUUGUCAAGAACCCUAUUAUUCUAGUUGGUCAAUUACCUGGGACCAGACCUAAUAGUUUGGAAUAGGAAGAUGGUCAUGCACUGGUACUGGCCUGGCACAUCAUGUGGUAGGUCUGACCUUAGGAUAAUUGAUACAAUGUUUUGAAUGGCAAAAGGUUGGUCCUAAGGAGAUUGAUUUGACUGAAGGAGAAGGGCUUAGCAUGCCUAAAGCUGAGCCACUAGAGGCAAAAUGCAAAGCGAUGAAUUUCAUCCACAAGAUUCUUUUAUAAGUCGAUGGAAUUAGGGAUGUGAUCGGAAUCGAAAUCGAUAAUUCGAAACUUUGAAAUCGAAAUUUUUUGAAAUUUUGGCAUCAGAAUUUCCUAUCGAAUUUGAUUUCAAAUUCACCAACUCCGAAUUCGAAUUCGUUUCGAAUUCAAUUCGGAUUUCGGUAAAUUCUGAUUUCACCGAAUUCAGGAAUAUAAAAUUAUUAUUAUUAUAUAAAUGUUAUAUUACAUAUAUAUAUAAAAUAUUAUAUAUAUAAUGAAAAAUAAUUUGAAAUCGAAAUAGUAAUUCCUAAUCACCAAAUUCAAGAAUAUAAAAAUUGUUAUUAUAAUAUAAAUGUUUUAUUACAUAUAUAUAUAAAUUAUGUGUAUAUAUAUAUGAAAAAUGAAUUUAAAAUCGAAAUAGGAAUUCUGAAUUCCGAUUUUGAAUUGUGAAUUCGAAAUCGAAAUUUUCGAUUUGAAAAAUUCCAUUACCGAAUUCGAACCAAAUUCGCAUAAUUUGAAAUCGAAAAACCAUAUUUCAGUUUUGAAUUCUGAAUUACUGAAUUCGAAAAUUCCGAAUUCAAUUGGAAUUCGGUCGAUAAAUCGAAAUUUUUUGAUUUUGCACAUCCUAGAUGGAAUUGUCCCUAGAUUUAUUUUUUUAUGCUAUGUUAUCUGAAUGAUUUUGAACUUUCUUGUGGUUGAUGUCUGUGGGAAAAUCUGUAUUUUUGGAAAGUAGAAUAUUGAGUAAUAAAAUCGUGUAAAUUAGGAGAGAUUAGUAGAGAGAAAUUCUAUAUACCUAUAACUGUGUAUUAGCUGUAAAGGAGCUAAUUUGGUGUAAAAUCUUAUUCCUAGAAUUAAGCAUAUAAUUGUGUAUAGUUUCCUAAUAUAGGCUGAAACCUGUUGUAUAUAUUCUUUUGGAUGCAAUGAAAUAAUUAUUCCCCUCAUUCAUUAUUUUCAAGUUGGUAUCAGAGCAUCUUUUCCUGGUUUUUUUUCUGUUUCAUUUUUCCUCCUUAUUUUUUUACAUUGUCCCCUAUCCCUUCAUCAUGUUGAAAUAUCAUCAGACUCUACCAUUAAUCCUCAAACUACUGCCUCUUCAUCCAAAAACAGAAUCGAAUCCUUGAAAACUGGGGUUGAUUCUCACUCAGUUCAGAUUACUACCAUUCGGCUGAAUGGAGAUAAUUUUCUCCAAUGGUCACAAGCAGUCCGGAUGUAUAUCAGAGGUCGUGGCAAGAUGGGGUAUUUAACUAGUGAAACAAAGGCUCCAAUAAGCACGGAUCCUGCUUACGCAACAUGGGACGCGGAAAACUCCAUGGUAAUGAUAUGGCUUGUAAACUCAAUGGAGGAAGAUAUCAGUUCUAACUACUUGUAUUCAACGGCACAAGAGUUAUGGGAAAAUAUCAAUCAGAUGUACUCUGAUUUGGGAAAUCAGUCCCGAAUUUUUGAGUUGACUCUCAAAAUUGGAGAUCUACGUCAAGGAGAAGACACUGUCAUAAUUAUUGUUAGUAUAAACUAAUUUAUUUAAUAUAGAUUGUUAUUGAAUAUAACCUACUCUGUUUAAUACAUUUAAAUUUUUCAAAACACAUUGAUAUAUGAAUGUGAAUUGAUUCAUUCUUAAUCAUCAGUUCAAAUUCCCAUAAACCGUCAAUUCAAGUUUUUAUAAAUAAUUAAUAUAAGGUUAUACUCUAUCUAAUGUAAGGGUGUUUUAGAAAAUUAGUAACCUAUUUUUAUUUUUCUAACAAAAUUAACUACUUUUUCUUAAAUUGUUUGAAAAAAAAACCUAGAACUAUCAAAAUGAAAUGGAGGGAAUAAUAUAAUCUGUUUUUUUCUUUUUUCUUUUUUUAUUUUUGGCGAGUGCAAAGCACUUUUGCCUUGCGAGCUGGCAACCAUGCUACUGGUCGCUCAUAUUUACAUGGACCACUGGUAAUUCACUUGUGAACGUCCAUCCCUAGGAACUUCACUUUGUUUUCUCCACGUACUUGAAAACAUACUAAACCCAAUUCAGAUAUAUAUGAGGAAUGGAUUUCCUAAUGGGAUUUCACAGUGCAAAAAAAAAAAAAAACAAAAAACAAAAAACUUGGAGCAGAGUGCAAUGCUACCAAACAGAUAACUACUACAAAAUGCUUAUCACAAUUAUGCUGAAAAUUUGCCUAGCCUUCAAUCUGGUUUCUUUAAGUUCAAGCAGUUGUCUGUUGCUUGCCUGAACAACUCCUGCACCUGCUUUAAUUCCUUAUCCGCAGCUUCCAGUUGUUUUUGUAGUUCUUGGCCUACCGCAUCAUUUUCAGCCUGAAGUUCUGCAAUUCUUUUCAGCUGAGCUUCUUCACCUCCCUCAGCUAAUGGAAGGGCAGCUACCAACAGAUCAAACUGCUUGGCAGCGUUGACAAGUGCAGCACUCAUGAGCUUUGGUUGCUCAGCAAGACUAGCUGCAUCCUCUGCAGCACUAGAUGGAUUAGCAGGAGGUUCCGGACAAUUAGGAGACAACCUAACUGGAGGAGCAUCCCUUUGAAGCGUCCCAAAGGUGUUGAAGGCAAGACCUGCAAUUGUAUUCACCUGUUCUUGCAGUUGAGUUAUUAUAUCCAUCUUGAAUUUUGAUACCUGCAAUUCUGGGCAACUUUGAAUUCAAGUAGCAUUUCUCAAUUUCUGUACAUCUUCGUUUUGAAUUCGAGCGACUAGGUAUUUCCUUGUUCAUCACAUUAACAACUCAAGAGUAACAGACAAAGAAAGAGGUCACACAGCACUCAUGAUCGACAGCUGAAAGAAAGAAUCAGAGGCAUUCUCAUCACUCAUAAGCAUAUUUGAAGCAAUACAAGUGAAAAAAAGAAAAGAAAAAUAGACAUAUAUGGCUUGGCACAAAUAGUCAGUCAAUCAGUUUGAACACACUCAAUCAGGCCUUCCAAUAUCCUUCCUGUGCUUGACAUCAGAGAGAUCCUCUAGAACAUGACUUAACAGAUGGUAGAUGCUGUUAAAACUUUUUCAUACGUAGACAAAACUACCCUCAACUAAAACAAAAGGUUUAGCACCUCAAAAAAUAAAUAAAGACCAAGAAGCUCUAGAGAAAGUCCAAACAAACGACCUGUCAACCCCUUGUCUUCCUCCUCCAAAUCUCCCUAUUUGACAACUCCAUCAACACAAGGAGAAACCAUGUCUAUUUUUCAUACACGUAUCAUGAGAUCACAAUGUAAAAGUGUAUGCUAAGUAGACACAAAUCAUUAAUAGCAAUCCUAUGCAUCCAAAUACCUCAAUCCUAUGCUAAGUAAAUAGUUCUGGAUGCCUGAACUAUUUACUUCUAGACUUAUUUUCCACAGCAAAGAUAUAAAAAGGCUAAACAUCUAGAAGACAUAAUCUACACUUGUCUAUACUACAUGAAACAAUACUUACUCUCCUUCAUUACAAGUAUAUCAAUCAAUUCAUCAUUAAAAAGAAUUAUCAUUUCCUUUUAUUUUCAAGAUCCACUUUUACCUCAGCUGGCAAGAGAAUACAUUACAAACUUGCACCUCACGAUACUCAUUGAAGCAUUUAUAUCAGCUGAAUUAUGCAUUAAUUCUAGGUAACAUUCAACAAAACUUAUGAAUGAGUAUGCAACCACACCUAGAGAUGUGAUGACAUUUGAAUCAGGAAAAAAAGAAACAAAUUCUGACCUUCAUCAUUCUUCAUAGAAUAAUAUUUCUUUACAUGUUCCAAACAUAUUUUAACAGAAAGACCAGUACCCAUCUGAAUGAGGAUAACUAACUCCAAACAUAAUAGUUGUGCUUUUGACUAUAUGGAAGCCUUGUUAAGAAGAUAGGCAACAGCUAGAACCUUAAUAUGGUGUCAAUCAUAAUUAAACACCACAACUCCACAUAUGCCCAUUUCUCUAUUAUUCUUCAAUGGUGGCCCCACAACAAGAAAGUUUUUGGAUUUCCCUUCUAACAAACAACCAUUCGAGGUAAAUUAGAUUUAGAUAACUGACAAUGGAGAAGCUUAUGCUGGAUUAAGUGUCCAUAACACAUGACCACUCACAGCAAAAAAAAAUGCAAUUGCAAUGGUGAAUUUAGAUGAAUCCUUUGCAUUACUUGUAAAAAGGCAACUUCCAAAGUUGGAAUGUAGAUGACAUUCGUCGAGGAUGUUUCCGAUACAGAAAAGAGCAAAAUGGUUGAAUCCUACAUGUAACUAUAGUAUGCUACCAGCAACCUAAGAAGAAUCUCUCUCCAUAAUACCAAGGUCAAAAUGAACACCCCUCAACCAAAAACCAUACAUAGCAUGACUAUUUCUGGCAAUGUCUCAGUAAACUAGUUCAAUUAUCUUUCUCAUUAACUUCCUCUUGUCUUACUUUUAGCCCUUCAAUCCAUAUUGGAUCCACAGAGACAAGAAUAUCAAUAGUUCCAUAUCAGCAAGCAAACAGUUAUAUAAAUCUCUGUAUAACGACAAAGCACACCCAAACUUUUUUCUUACACUAUUUUAUACAGCAUCAUUUCUCCUGACUUAGAAUUGAGUCAUAAAUAGUGUGAACCUUACAGAUGUCUAAUAGUCUGACCAGUCGUCCUUUUUUCCGAUCUAAAGGAAAACCAAUCAUUCAUUUCCUUUUGGUUUUCUACUUUUUCCCUUUGGUUCUUUUAUGUCUUCUUUUCAUUUUGGGUAGGGAGGAGGGUGGAGGCCUGUCUGUGAUAUUCCUUUAAGGAGCAAGUCGACCAAAAGAUAACAAGAAAAUCUCAAAUUGAUUAAGCAACAUCGUUUCACUAGCCAUUAAAUGCUCUAUGACAAGCAUAUUCAGAAUCUGCUUUAAAUCUAAACUUGUGCAGUCACAAUUAAAUGGAUACCCCGACAUCUAGGAUAAAUGAUAAUAGGAGGUUAAUGCCAAAAGGCCCAAAUUUAACAAUUCAUUGACAACAAAUUAACACAGAUGCAUUCAUUGGGGGCAAACUAACCAAGGAAUACAAGUAUUUACCUCAGUUUUAUACUUAGCUAUUGGCUGUACCAGAGGGCACGACUAAUCUAGGCUCCAACACUUUGAAUUUCUUAAACACAUUUUGCUGCAGAAGACAAAAUUUACACCAUAUAGAAAUGAACAUUCGAAAAGAAUUUGAAUCAUAUAUAAUUCCCAUAAAAAUAGAAUAAUAAACCAAGUGUCAUGUUCUCAAACACAUACGAAACAGAUGUGCAUGCCACAGUUUUCAAAGUAAAAAGACAAUGACAACUUUUCAAAAACCUGCAGCUAUAAAUCACGGAACAAUCACAGCUACACUUAUACGAGGUAGGCAUAAAUAGUGGCUCAACGCCCACAAACAUCUAGCGUCUUUUUAAGAAAAGGAAAAAGGCAAGCACAAGCAGCAUAUGAUUGAGUGCACAAUGUAACUAAAAGAAGCAACCCUCAGAAAUUUAAUUGGUCAAAAAACAACUUUCCAAAUCCUGACUGGUCUAUGUGAAUUGUCCAGACAGCAAGGGAAGGCAUUACAAAAAUUGAUAACACCUACAAUAACAAAUGACCCCAUAGAGUUGACCUUUCGAACCCGCUUCAAACCAUGACAUAUAAAUAGCCAAUCUUGGGGUCCAGCACAAAAACCCAAUACAAACUCAUCAGCAAUCCACAAAUCCUUCAAGAACACAAGAAAAACACCGCUCCAUCUUUCAGAAUCACCCAAAAAACAUGCAGUCACGUGUGUGCCCAUCCAUAGAAAAAAGUACUACUACAGCAAGCACAAAACCCUACUCCAAAAUCAUCCACAACAUUCAAAUCCCUUCAUAACACCAUUCAUCUCCUUCAAUAAUCACCAAGAAAAGUGUAUGCACCCAUGCACAGAAAAAAGUACUAUAAAAGCCAUCAGAAAAACUCUACCCGGAAUAAUCCAUGACAUUCAAAUCCCUUCACACAACACCAUUUUAUCUCCAUCCCAAAUCACCAAAAAAUGCCUGUGCACACUUAUGGGGGAAAAAGAACUCCUACAGCUAACACAAAACCGUUCUCCAGAAUCAAUCACAACAUCCAAAAUCCCUUCAAACGGAGGGGGUAAAAAGACAACUCGCCGCUUCCAAAAUCGCGGAAGACAGAUAAUUUGACCCCCCCCCCCCCAACAAAAAAAACAAAAAAAAAACAGCAUUUAAGGGAAAAAAUACCAAAAAAUCCACAAUUAUCCAGCUGGGAAAGAAAGAAAAUUGAACAUCAGUUCUCAUUCAUUACCAAAAAGAUUCCGUCAAAUGAGAACUUAAAACAAUACAGAAAGGCAUGCAUACCCAAAAUGCAGAUAAACCAACCAGUUUUUUUUGGAGCAAACUAAUCAGUUUAUGCAGAUAAAAUUCUAACCUUAGUAAACAACAUCACAACUCUGAUUUAAAAAAAAUUGAACGCAUCUCGAUCACAAUCACAUUGAUGAAUCAAAGGAAAAAAAACCAUGAACCAAAUAGCAUAAAAAAGAACAAAAAAAAUCAAGCCAAAACACAUCCAUACGCAUGUUCAGGUGGUGAGCUUUAGCCUAUACACGGAUUAAAACAAUAAAUCAAAAGCAAGAAUUAAAAGCCAAAAAAAAAAGAGAAAAAGUGAAGAAACCUUACAGUGAAGAGGACGAGAGAAUUCUUGAAAGAAAAUAUGUGUCUGGAGUCUGGACGGGCUUUUGGUUGCUGCCUCGGGGAGUGCAAGAAAGGACAGGAGGGAAGAGAAGAGAACAGGAGAAAGAUUAAAAAAAAGAAAAAAGAAAAAAAAAGAUUUGGAUUGUGGAUUUUAAGUUGAGUUAAUUGCAUUUUGCCCUCCUCAAUUAUGCCUAGACUGAAGUUUGUACCCCAAACGUUUAAUUUUUGCAAUUAACUAUCUCUAACUCUUGAUUUGCCGCAUGAUUUAAAAUGAAGCUAAAUCCGAUGGGAUAAAAGAGCGACACGACCGAUUUGCCCUUAAAAUCUUACUAAAAUGCCCAAAGUAUCCCAGAAAAAAGCAAUUUUCUAGGAAACCUUUUCUCUCAUUUUCUUAAGCGAACUCAAGAAUGCGUAAAGAAAUCUAAUCCUCGAACAACCUUCAAAAGCCUUUUCUCUCAUUUUCUAGGAAACCUUUUCACUUUCCCCUUUCCUUUGAUUUUCGUCUGCCACAAUAGGACAAAUAAGAAAAAGGAAAAAUGUCCAAUUUCGUCCCUAAAUUUUGGUGUCAAUUUAGUUCUUAACUUUCAUUUCUGACUAAUUUGAUAUUUGAACUUAUUUUGCAAUUUCAAUUAAGGACCCCAAUGGUACUACUAUUUAAAACCGAUAUGACUUCUAAUUGAUUAACUAAAAUAGAGGUAUUAUAGAAAUGCCACUCGGGACAUUAUAAUGAAACAAGCAAAUCAAACUUCUAAAUCGUAUAAAAAAUUAUCAGAUAAAACUUCUUUGAAGUUUAAUCUUGUGAUUUUUUUAAUACGUUGAUUUAUUACAGUCCCGUGAGUGAUGUUCUCAAAAUUUCCCUAUUUUAUUAGUUAAUUAGAAGUCAGAUCUGUAUUAAAUGGUAGCGUCGCUACAAAAGUCCUCAGUUGAAACUGCAAAAUAAGUUCACAUAUUAAAUUGGUUAGGAAUAAAAAGUUAGAAACUAAAUCUACACUAGUGAAAAGGUUUAGGAAUGAAAUUGGUCAUUUUUUUAAAAAAAAACCACCACAACAAUAAUCCCCGUCUUACCAAUCGAAAUUAACACUUCUCACAUCAAUGAAUUUUGUCGAACAGUUCUGACCUUACAUACUCUGCUGCAACUUCUUAACCCAUGGUUUAUGGGACUCUUAUCUAUGGUGACAUCUGGCCAUGCGGGUUGGAGUGCAACUGCAAGAACAGGAAGACAGGAAAGCCUAGAAGGUAUAGGAUUCAUGGUGAAUCCUCUUAACUGUUAAUUUGAGUUAAUAGUGUUUGGAAGUUUGAAAACUCAAUAAUCAACGUCCUUUCAUUUGAGAUCCUUUCUCAAUUAAAAGUCCAUCAGUCCAAGUCCACACAGAGGUUUUCAUUCCGGGGUUCCAUUUGCAAAGGUGAAUAUCAAGAUAAGACUCCUGGCAUGUGGAAUUGAGUUAGAUCAUGUUCGCAAUUUGCCAAUAUAGAGUUUUGUAUCUCGGAAGUGGUAAUUAACCUCACAAAAUGCAAAAGAAACUGCAAAGAUUAGAAUUAAGAAUUGGUGAUCUGUUUCAAGGGCAUUGUAGAUUAACAACCCUGCAGGAAAAUAGGCCAAGCCACUUUCAUGUGAAUGAUAUUAUUGUAAUAUGAUAUAGAUACAAUGUAGACUAAUAAAUUGCUUAUUAGAUGCUUUUACUAUUCACAAUAUAUCCUGCUCAGGAUUAAGAAGGAAGAAAAAACCCACAAAAUCAAGGCCAUGCAACUUAGCUUUGGCAAUCUGCACAGAAAAAGGAAAAGAAAAUCCAGAAAACUAUGAAUAAAUGCUAAGAUUCAGAAUGUGAUAAUGGAAUAUUAAUACAUCAACAAUUGGCCAACUCGAACAUAGUGAAUACUCAGUU
RNAcentral lists this long non-coding RNA (68380 nucleotides) under Coffea arabica (coffee). Its description in RNAcentral is "long non-coding RNA (CARA_LNC002667)". The record is from RNAcentral. Lineage: Eukaryota; Viridiplantae; Streptophyta; Magnoliopsida; Gentianales; Rubiaceae.